This 52582-nucleotide long non-coding RNA is filed under the name Musa acuminata (dwarf banana). RNAcentral describes it as "long non-coding RNA (MACU_LNC005532)". The record is from RNAcentral. Lineage: Eukaryota; Viridiplantae; Streptophyta; Magnoliopsida; Zingiberales; Musaceae.
UCCAUAUAUUGUUUAACCAUUCAACUUGUUUGAGAUAGAAUGUCUAAACAAAGUAUUAAACACAUUGAGGAGACAUCUAACAAGUUUUUGCAUCUUAUAGUGUCUCGAAUAUCUGUAUGGUCACAAAAACAUGCUUCACAACUACCAAUAUGAUUUCCCCGCAAUCACCUAGUAAAAGAAUGGGUGGGAUUUCUAAGUUAUACAUAGUAUUUCAGGAUGCUACAUCACCCGAGCAAGGCAAAUUAGAGGCUUUUAUGUCACCCUGUAAUUUUUUGCAAUGGUAAUAUUUGAUAGAUCAAGAACCAAAUACUAUUGUAAUGAUUAUGACUAAAACCUAGAAACUAUUCUAAAUAAAUCGUGAUCACUCAGACAAUUUUCAUUGUUACUUUUGUCUAGCGAUCAUGUAAUUAUCAAUCUACUCAAAUUUUGAAUAUUAAGCACAUGAAAAAGAAACCAUCCUUCUUGUAAGAAAGAUUAAGUUUCUUUUUCUUCUAAGCCCUUCUCCAAAGGAGUCCUUCAGUACUUCAUUUAUGAAGGCAACAUGGAAUUAUGAAAUUGAUUACAACAAUGCUAGGUGGAGAGUGGGUUCUUUUUUUUCUUGUGGCCCAUAGAAUUGCCACUUUCCUGCAGAAACUCACUAGGAGAGACGAUCCAUAGCUUAACCACAUUUACUUUGGCUUCACCAACCAGUGGCCUCUGUUUAACAUGCAGAAUGAAUGGUCAAAGUAUCUCAUCUUGGAUUGUCCCUUUUCAGUCAAACUAUCGGACUACAUGCACCACCAUCACCUUGAUAACACUAUCCUUUGAAUAUGUUCUCUCUUAAUUGUCCAACAUUCUGAUAAUUGCACAACCAUCUGCAUAACUGUCUCUAUUUUGCUCAAUUUUCCAUAAUACCAUAAGCCAUACCUUCUUCAGGUUAAAUAUAAAAUCUAACCAACAUUUUUGAAGUCUUUAAAUGUUUGGAACUUCUCAUUCACUUAUUGAUACUAUAGUGCUGAAGUUACAGUUCUCGCAUGCGGCAUAAAUUCUACAUAGUCUAGAAAUCUUAUCAGAAGUUCAACACAAAAUCACAACUCAAAAGAGCAAUACAGAUUUAAAAAUACUCAAAAAAGUUUCAAGACAGUAAAGCAAUAAAUAUUUCAGUGCUAAAAUAAGAACAUACUUAUGAUACAAUUGUCAUCUUGUAGGAUUCUCGAACAAGUGUCGGAGCAUAUCCAAGUUCAAGCUGAACGAACUAAUAUGUUUUGGCUGAAUGCAAGAGAAUUUCCAAGUAGGUAUGCCAUUAUUAUAUAAACUCCAAAUAUUUAAAUCUGUAUUUUAUUUCAAAAGACCACCACAAGAAAAAUCAUAUAGACAAUCUAGAAUCAUUCAGGAAUUCCAAAUUAAUCCAAGUCUUCCACUACUCUUUUCUUGAAGCAGCAAACGUUUACGAGAACUCACUUUUCUUUCAUUCUAACAUCACAGGAAUUUCUUGUAAUUAGCAGAUAAGCAAUAUGCCCAAAUAACAAGAGAUAUCUUCUGUUCUAAAUUAAAAUUCAGUAGCAUAAAAGACUAGUCUUUUUUAUGAAGAAAGAAGGCAUCAGAGCAUGAAGCAUUGGAGUCAAUAAAACACUUACCUGAUGGUCUUGUACAACAUACAAGAAACCCACGUCCCCUCCAUUCCCAUCAACUUGAUUCCAGGAAGAAAACGUCAAUCUGUCCAAAUAAUUAGCAAUUUCAUAGCCCAAUCACUCAGACAAAUCCCACUUCAGUAANNNNNNNNNNNNNNNNNNNNNNNNNNNNNNNNNNNNNNNNNNNNNNNNNNNNNNNNNNNNNNNNNNNNNNNNNNNNNNNNNNNNNNNNNNNNNNNNNNNNNNNNNNNNNNNNNNNNNNNNNNNNNNNNNNNNNNNNNNNNNNNNNNNNNNNNNNNNNNNNNNNNNNNNNNNNNNNNNNNNNNNNNNNNNNNNNNNNNNNNNNNNNNNNNNNNNNNNNNNNNNNNNNNNNNNNNNNNNNNNNNNNNNNNNNNNNNNNNNNNNNNNNNNNNNNNNNNNNNNNNNNNNNNNNNNNNNNNNNNNNNNNNNNNNNNNNNNNNNNNNNNNNNNNNNNNNNNNNNNNNNNNNNNNNNNNNNNNNNNNNNNNNNNNNNNNNNNNNNNNNNNNNNNNNNNNNNNNNNNNNNNNNNNNNNNNNNNNNNNNNNNNNNNNNNNNNNNNNNNNNNNNNNNNNNNNNNNNNNNNNNNNNNNNNNNNNNNNNNNNNNNNNNNNNNNNNNNNNNNNNNNNNNNNNNNNNNNNNNNNNNNNNNNNNNNNNNNNNNNNNNNNNNNNNNNNNNNNNNNNNNNNNNNNNNNNNNNNNNNNNNNNNNNNNNNNNNNNNNNNNNNNNNNNNNNNNNNNNNNNNNNNNNNNNNNNNNNNNNNNNNNNNNNNNNNNNNNNNNNNNNNNNNNNNNNNNNNNNNNNNNNNNNNNNNNNNNNNNNNNNNNNNNNNNNNNNNNNNNNNNNNNNNNNNNNNNNNNNNNNNNNNNNNNNNNNNNNNNNNNNNNNNNNNNNNNNNNNNNNNNNNNNNNNNNNNNNNNNNNNNNNNNNNNNNNNNNNNNNNNNNNNNNNNNNNNNNNNNNNNNNNNNNNNNNNNNNNNNNNNNNNNNNNNNNNNNNNNNNNNNNNNNNNNNNNNNNNNNNNNNNNNNNNNNNNNNNNNNNNNNNNNNNNNNNNNNNNNNNNNNNNNNNNNNNNNNNNNNNNNNNNNNNNNNNNNNNNNNNNNNNNNNNNNNNNNNNNNNNNNNNNNNNNNNNNNNNNNNNNNNNNNNNNNNNNNNNNNNNNNNNNNNNNNNNNNNNNNNNNNNNNNNNNNNNNNNNNNNNNNNNNNNNNNNNNNNNNNNNNNNNNNNNNNNNNNNNNNNNNNNNNNNNNNNNNNNNNNNNNNNNNNNNNNNNNNNNNNNNNNNNNNNNNNNNNNNNNNNNNNNNNNNNNNNNNNNNNNNNNNNNNNNNNNNNNNNNNNNNNNNNNNNNNCUGCUGCCUAACUUUAGGCGGCCGGCCCCUCGGUCUCUUGGUCAAACCCGGCUGACCCGGAUCCGGACCAUCGGCGGCGCGCUUGGGGGGUCGGCCGCGCGGCCGGGGGAUCUUGGCGGGGGCCAGGGGAUCGACUGGUUUCGGCGGCCGGCCACGCCGCCUCGGGGCCGCGUCGGCGGGGCCAGCUGGGUCGGGGAGCUUGGGCUUGGGCGGCCGGCCGCGGCGGCGCUUGACGGGCGGAGGUGCCUCUGGCCCAGGGCGGAAGUAGCCGCUGCCGACCAGGAGGAGCUCGCCGGCCUCGGUCAUGCGGGCGAGGUGUGCGUCCAGCUGCGAGGCGUGCGACGGCGGGAGCUGGCCUUCGUAGGACGACUCCACGUACUCGGCGAUCGCCGACAUGCUCGUCCCAUCCUUGUCGCCGGAAGCUGCGACCGCAGCCAGUAUCAUCUGACGAAAGGCAAAGAGACGCUGAUGAUGAUGAAUUAGGGUUAGGGUUCCGGCUUAGGGAGCAGAGAUGUGUACCUGAGGGUACGGAGGGAGGGAGUGGGUCCGCGGAUCUUCUUCUUCUGUGGCCAUUGUUGGACUGUAAGAACAGAGAGAGAGACUGUGUGUGUGUGUGUGCGCGUGUGAGUGAGAGAGAGAGAGAGAGAGAGAGACGACUGCUGCCUCUGCUACUGUUUUGGGGAGUAAUAAUUGGGAGGGAGACGUCUACAUUUGGGGAUCGGCAGUGCGGACGAAUGGGAAAGCGAGCGAGCGAGGGAGGCUAACACUAAUUAAACAAAAGCGGAUUAAAAAUACUAAAAAUGUUAAAUUAUAUUAUAUAAUAUCAUUAUAUUUGAUAUUAUUAUUAGUGAAAAUACAUGUUUUGUCCUCAGGACACGUCAAAGCUGAUGCCACACGCCACGUCGAAACUCGUACCCCCAAGACACUAUUCGACACGUCUGAUCUUGGCAAUCCCGAGACGGUAACACCCCCGCACGUCAAGCCAGAAUCCAUAUUGAUGUCGUGCUGUGUCCAUCACGUUAAUCCACAUACGACCGACCCUUUCACGGUAGUAUAAAGACCUCUAUCCCGGCCUCCAAAAAAAAAAAGAGAAAAAGAGAUUACUGACUUACUCGUUGGAGGGGCCAAAGUCGGGAAUCACCCGACGAAGGCUAUUUUUGCAGGAAGACAACCCAACCUCGGGAGUCGCGGACCAACGCCCUCAUGGCGAGUCAUCAACCAACCCACCCCCAACUCGAGGAUCUAGUCAGUUCCGACAACCAACUCAGCCGACAGGAGACUCCCGACGUCGACUCGUGGACUAAGCCGUGCUGACUCAUCAGCCACGGCACAUUCGUUCCCGACAGUUAGUAUAAUAAUAUUUAAAUUACAUUAAUAUCGAAUGAGAUUGACAGCUUCUUCUCUGACUUUAGUAUAAUAAUAUUUAAAUUACAUUAGUAUAAUAAUAUUUAAAUUACAUUAAAUUACAUUAAUAUUUCAAUCUUCAUAAUGUGAUCCAUAGCAUGAGAAUUCUAACUUCUUCCAAGGCAGUAGAUGUUACUUUAAAUUAUGACAGGAUUCAAAACAUGUAUGUAUCCAUCACACCCUUAUUUGGUGUUUUUUUUUUCAUAUCUAAGUUUCUUUUUGUUGAUUACUAUGUUGAGAUAAUUACAAUGAGAUUGUGUUGAGAUACUAUACAGAUAAUGAGACUGUCAGCACAGAAGUUGUGAAGGAUUAAUGUGAACUAUAAGACUAAUACCAUCCAGUAAGGAAUAGGAAAUGUACUAAUAGUGUCUUCUCUCCUACUUAGAAUCUAUUAGAAUAAUAAUAGUUAGGAGCAGUGUUGGAGAUUAGGUGUCCUGUGAUAUAUGAGGGUAAGUUGGCAUUAAACCAUUUCCUUGUCCGUCUAGAAGACAUGAGAAAAGUCAUGAUGUGAGGCUUUGGUAUUUAAACUGGCAUUAGGAGUAGUAUUAGGUGUCAAGAGGAAUUCCUUAGCUAAGGUCUUCAUUUUUAUCAUCAAUGACAUAUAUUAUCUCCAGCUUGCUGCUGUUCCAGCAAAUGAUAAGUCUAAGCUUGCAAAUGGAGAACAGUAUGUAUGUGUCAACUUUGAGAGAGAUUUGGAGGUGAAGCAGCUGAAAACCUGCACGAUGAGGUUCAAACAUGUCGUUUGGUAUGCUCAUCUCCCUCACACCACCCAAUGCAAGAGAAGACUAUUCCAGAGAAUGAGAUAUAUUAUAAGCAGCUUUGAUCUCGAACCAAACCAACCAAGUUCACACCAUUCAUCCAAGAAGUCGCUCUCUCUCUCUCUCUACUCUGCUCUUCCCACUGCUUCCAUCAUUUGAAGGUGGAUAAGAUUUUUGUCAUGCAUCAGCAAUUUAUGAGCAGAAAACUGGAUAUAUAUAGUGGAUAAAUGAGGACUCACACCAUGCAUACACCCUUCACGUUUCACCGGGAAGAUAAUUGCAUAUCAGCAAUAAUAUUAAUGAUAUAUAUGCAUCACAGAUUUCAAUGUUGAAUAUUAUGCAGCUAUCAUCUCCAAGUUAAAGUUGCAUCAGCCUGGGGUUCCUCACAGAAGAUAAAACCAAGAAACUGCAACAAGAAUGUUCCCAACUCAUGACACAGCUUAUCAGAAAUCGCCAGAGGAGAUGCUAAUUUUAUACUUCUUGUGUUGCAGAAAAUAUAAUUUGAAUGAUCACUACAACACAUACAUGCAUGAAGCAGAAGAAUUCAGUCUUCACUUACUGUAUCCAAAAGCUAUGCUUGAACGAGAAUGCUAAGCUUCCAUGGGUUUUAUGUCAUCUUGUUAUUGUAUCAUCUUCUUCUAUCUCUUGCAUAGUUUCUGUGAUUACGAUCUGAGCUGAGAAACUUAGCUCAGAUUUGGUGGACUCGUCGUACUUUCUUGUUUUAUAGAUUCAUAUCUGUUUUGGUAGAAGAACAGAUGGCCAGCAAAGAGCAAUGUGAAUCCCCGUGUGAUCUGUAAACAGUGGCGUUGCAUACUUAAAGCAAGGCCGGCCAAAGUGGCAGCGGCAGUGGUUGCGAUGUAGGAAGUCAACCCUCAAACCCAGUGCCAUGCAUACACCCGGAUGAGUAUGUGAGGUUUGUCAACUGCGUGCGCCGCUGUUGCUUCAACGUCAAGGAAAGUUCGAUCCACCAUUGACCAAUGCGAUGGCCUUCUUCCUCCUCCCCGCAAUAGCAGGCCCGAAAGACUCAACAUGGAUUAAAGUAACUCCGCAAAUGGAGUCGCAGCUACGCAAAUGUACCGCCUUUUCUUAGUUGGCUGUCAAGCUUACGCUGUCAAACAUCUGCUGCCAUCUACGUUGGAUCUCAUUAAUUGCACCAUGGCCUCUUCCUCAUUCCACCAGCGCUUCUCUUCUUGUCCUCCUCCGUUGCCAUGAGGAGAUCCCCUCUUGCUGCUCUCCUUUUAUGCCUCGCCCUCCUCCUGCUGCUGCUUCGCGGUCCGAGCUCGCUGCAGUCUUCGCACGCCAAUACCUCGUCCAUCCCCAGGAAGAUGUUGUUGGCGAAGCUUGAUGUCGCUGCAACCAGUCAUGCAAGGCACCAUCACCAUCACCAUCGGCACAACCAAAGCCAGAAAACGUCGCUCGUUGAUCCCAGCGGUGUCGACGAAAUCGAUCCUCGGUAUGGCGUCGAGAAGCGACUAGUUCCGACGGGGCCCAACCCUUUGCACCACUAGCCGAUGUUUCCAUGGAAGGUGAUAAGAGCAGUGACAUGGCUGCUGAGGGCUUUUGGUAUCUCGUUCCUUGUUCCAUUCUUUGUGACUGGAAUUGAAGAAUGAUAUGUAGAUCUCAAGAAUCUCUGGAUUAAUAUACUUGUAUGUUCAUGUGUGUACUACCAAAACCUUGUAGAAUCCAGCUGUCUUGCUUGCUUACUCGGAAUACUUUGUCGAGUAGAAAAGUCUUCGUUUAGUUUGAAAAUUUUGUCAUUGUAGCGUUGAGAUCGAAAGCUUUAGAUUGUUCACAGGAGAAGUUGAGCAUAGACAUGGUUUCAGGUAACUCGUAAAGUUCUGAGAGACAUUGAGAGCACUCAGUAUGGUAGAUGGUAAUAAGUAAUGAUUUGGAGGUUCAAAGCAGAAUCAUCUGCCCACUAAAUCAUGCGACCUAAUAUAGAUAUUAAAUCUAAAACAACAGACAGUUGGUUCUGACAGUAACAUAUGAGGUGAGUUACAGCAUCUGAUUUGUUUUAUAUCAUUGUUUGCCUCUGACAACAUCAUAUUGUUUCUGAUUCAGGUUUAGGAAGGAUGGAGAGGCUCGAUGUGUUUAGAUCAUUUGACUUUUGAAGCUUGUUUAUGGGUUCUGCAGAAGCCACCAUGUGAGGUCGGCAUUUGAAUGGCUACCAUAUGAAGUCAGGUUUUCGUCAACUCCUCUUCCUGUGCUCUUUACCUAUGAUGAUCACUUUUCUCAGUUUGCUGUAUGGUUGAGUUGACCUAGCGCAAGAAGUAUAGAUUCGAAAGCAAGUCAUGAUUGUGCUCUUUCCAAUCUUCAAACACGAGAGGUGUGGGGAUAAGAGAUGGUGGAUAGAAGAUGAGAAGGAACUUUGGCAUCACCAUCAUCGGAAGGCAACUUCAGACUACUUUAGAUGGAGCAACCUUGGCCAUUACAUUAUCCAUAGCCACCCAAAUCCAGAAAGCACCGGCAACAACCAGGAACAAAGGUUGGUGCCACUUCCACCACUAACUCUGUAGGCAAAUGAUGCAAACAGAUAUCCAUUACAACACCAAACAAGCCAGAAAGGUAACCCAACCAGACCAUUUAGUCACUGUAGGAUGUCAGAACUACAGGUGCCAAAGAAGUCAGAGAGAUCAUGCAUACACAGGAUUUUAUUCAUUCAUUACAGAAAGGUUGCAGAUAUUACAGUCCUCCCGAAUCAGCCUGCAAAAGUAGGAUUUGGUGAACAAAAAACAACCAAACAUGGUUGUCAUGGCAUGCUUUUAGCUAUCAGCUGCCGAUAACCAAAUCCCUUGAAUCUCGGGCAUCCAAACAGAACUGUGCAAGAAGCAACCAACCAAAGACCCAUACUGAAGAGGAGAAUAGACUCAAAUGACUCGUUAGGACAUGAAGCCCAGACUGGAACAACUCUAAGGACUGACAGACCCGAAACAUUUGGACACAAGUUCGCCCUGCCGGGCAUUGCCAAUAUAGGAUUUGGCUAAAACAAACCAUAGAAGCAAGCAAUGUAUGAUGCUUCCCUGAUGAUACAUAACCAUGACCAUAUGAAAAACAUAGAGCACAUAUGAGCUAACUAGGCUCAUAAUUGAGCAACAACUUGACUCAAGGUUAGAUAUGGUUGUGAUCUCACAAACCAAGGCCAAAAUGGGGGAUAGCCAGCCAGUUAAAGACUGCCAAACCCCCCAAACAGAGUUUUCCUGUGAAAGGAGAACAAUCUGCAAAAAAUACAAGAUAGGCCAAUGGUCCAUGGAAGACAACCAAAAUCUUCGAGCAAGGCGAAAGCUUACGGCCAGAGGCACGAGCCAAAAACUAAACAGAAAUAGAUUGCUGCUGUUCACAAUCAAUCAUGGUGCUGGAUUUCAUGAUUGACUAAUGAUUGGACUACCAAGAGAUUCCCCUGACCAUUUUUUUGUACUUCAACUCAACUAGGAAAUGAUAUCACACCACCAUAGCUUCUCCUCAAGCAACCUCAGCCCAUGGGCACUGAUCAAGCUGCAGUCCUGAAGAUUUAGGCCCACGAUGGAAAGCCCCAAGUUUCCCAAGAAUGGCAGACUCUUCAGUGUAACCUGUGAGCAACUUGCAAGAGAGAGGAUAUGCAAGUUAAGCUGCCUUGCUGAUGCCAGGAGUGCCACACCAUAAUCACUUACUGAACAACUUGACAAAUCAAGGUCAUCAAGCACAGAGCAACUUUCUGUAAUUGCCAGAAGGCUUCUAUCAGUGAUCUUCCUACAACCAUGAAGAUUAAGCAUCUUCAGACUACUUCCAUGUACCUUGAUCAGCAUAGUUACCAAGUCAUCUGUUACGUUAACACAACCGGUCAGAUUGAUCUCCACAAAGCCCACCUCAGAACUCUCGAUCAGUGGGAUGAGCGAUUCAUCAGUUACCCCAACUUGACCACUCAAAUCUAUAUUCUGUAACUGGGGGCAGAUCCUCCCUACCACUUGUAUGCUAGCACUAGUGACUCCUGGACAGUCUUGGAUAGUCAGGGACCUAAGUGACAUGCAUGACGGCAGUUGUGAAAAUUCAAAAGAUAUGUCUUUGAGGCCCAAGCAUCUCACCAAACUUAGUGACUUCAAUUCUGCACUGCGCUUCAAAAGAGCACCAAGGAUGCCCAUAAGAGUGAUAUGGUUACAAUCCUCAAGGUGCAAACCCUCAAGUGCCUUUGCUGUUCCAGCAAAUGCUAUCAAACCAGCAUCAGACAGGUAGCAAGAUUUGCAAACAAAGAGCUGCUUCAGGAAGGGGGAACCCUUGGCAAUAGCUUGCAAGGCAGUAUCAGUAAGCCCAUUGCAACAGUUGAUACUGAUGGACUUCAACUUUUGUAAGCCAUGAGUAUUUCCCAUAACCCAAAAUCCCUUUUCAUUCACAUCCUGAAGCUCAGUGAGAGAUAGGUCGAUUACAUUCUUCCCAUAGUGUCCAAUGACUGCAAGAGCAAUAUCACUGAUAUUCAAGGUCCGAAGUCUUAUCCUUUCCAAGGAAGAAGAGGCUGAAGAAACCAAGCUUGCAAUUCCUUUGUCACCAACCUGCAGACAGUCAUUUAUAGUUACAGAUUUUAGUUUUGGACAGCAACGACCAAUAGCCUGCAGACCUUCAUUGCCAAUUCUCGAACAAGAUUUAAUUGACAAAGAUGUUAAGUCAGGGCACUUCUGAGCAACAGCUAUCAAGCCCUUGUCUGAAAUCAGUGGACACUGGCAGAGGUCAAGCUUUUCCAACAAUGGGCAUCCAUUGGCAAUCUCAGAUAGGCCAACAUCAGUGACAAAGGGUACCUUCCACAUAGAUAGAACCCGUAGGGAAGGGCAACCACGAGCAAUAGCAGAAAGCCCAACAUCAGUAACACGAGUUGAAUUGCUUCCUCGGAUGGAAAGCUUGCCUAGCCCACCACGACUACAGGUUCCAAGGGCAAUAGAAGCAAGUCUAAUAUCCGUAGCUUCCUCUGCAUCCAAGCACCUGGUGAGAUACCCAUUGUUCUCGCUUUCCUGUUCAUCGACAAUCACAUCAUUAUUCAGGAACAGCGAGGGGUUCUUCACAGAUUCAUCGCAGGCCUUAUUGCAAGCAGCAAGCUCUGAAGAACGGAUGCUGCUAACAAGCAUAAGCCAGUGCUUGGAGACACAAGCAGAGUUGCUCCUCUCCUUAUCUCCGGGCAACCGCCUGAGGAUCUCAAAGAGGCACUCGUCAGGAAGGGUGUCGAUCGAUCGGGGCUGUUUCUCUUCGUCUAUGACCUUUUCUCCAGCUCUGAAGAUAAGAGGUGCCGUGACCCGAUAUCUCUUGCAAGGGGGGCCGUAGACAUCAGCCUUUUGACCAAGAGAAAGGAGAAGGCUCGAAUCAGUGAGAUUCGAGUAAAAAGGGCCAGGGCAGAUAUCAUCGUUGCCUGCAAGACCAAGAAAGGAGGAUGAUGGUGAGUUCCAAAAGAGGAUCUAAAUCUGAUCUAAGAUACAAAUACAAUUAUCAAGAAAACGCAUAAAAAAUCAGCAGGAGAUUUAAAGGAAGUACAAUCCAGGAGUCGAGCACAACAAGAUGCCAUCUUGUGCCCUUGAUUCCCCAUUUGUUUCCGAAUUUACUUUGAGCAGUACCUUAUGUAACUUGUGAAAAAUCCCUAAAUCUAGACAACACUGAAUAGCGAAAUCAUGGAGAUUUGCUCUCCAAAGCACAACAAGAACCAAAGAGUUCGCAAAAGAGAAUCAAAAUGAAGCAAAAUUUACUGAAUAUUUAAGGGUUAUCGAACAAAAAUCGGAUCAGAAGUUGAAAUGACAACAAGAUGAUAGUACCGAAUAGCAAAAAAACAGAGAACAUAUGAUCUAAUAUCUCUUAAUCCAAUUUAGCAAGUCUCGCCUCCAAACAAAGUCUAAAGUCCUCAUAACCAACUAUAACUAGCAAAAGGACCCUCUGAUCCAGAAAGGGGCUCCUGAAAUCCAUCAUUAACAGAAAAUAGCAACGAUAGAGUAGAUCAAAACGCAAAAGCCAUCGACUUCAUGUCAAUUAAAUCACAAAUUAACGAACUGAGAGCAGGGAAGAGGGAUUACCUCCAUAUUUGACGAGCGCCGCCAUGAGCACAAACGGAGGAGGAGCAACCCGGAAGAUCCGGAUCCGACCACCAGGAACAGCAACGUGUAGCUGAUCAAGGAGAAAAAAUGCACCACUGGAACGUUAAAGACCUCGGGGAGCAUCACAAAAUCCCAUACAGGUUCGAUCGAUAGACACAGGCGGAGGAGGGGGAAUCCGUAGCCGGCGUUGGAAUGGGGAAGCCGGGCGUCGGCUCAACAUAAUAAAAGAAGGGAGAGAGAGAGAGAGAAAGAGAGAGAGGAUAAGAGACGGAACGAAUUUUCAGUUUUGCCCUUUGAAUGCAUUGCACCUUCCCAUCCUCGUCGCGAAGUUGCCGCCACGGAGAGUGUGGGCGGCAAUCAUCAACACAAAUCUUGAUGCUGGGCCUAAACGGAUACGAUUCCUUCUCUUCUCUAACACGAGGCACCAAAAAUAAAAUGAAUUAUUAAAAAUAUUCCAGCUUUUAAAAGAAAAAAAAUCAUUUUAUCCGAUAUGGGUUAGACGAUUUAAACGAAUCUUUGUCCAUAAUUUAAAAUAGAUGGAUAAAAUAUUAUAUAUCAUAGUAACAAUUUAAAAUAUAUCAUAAUAAUAUUAUAUAAUAAAAUUAAAUAAGGAACGGUACUUAAAAGAAUAUGGUAAUAAGUGACAAAGUAAUAUAAAAUUAAAUACAUAAAUCAUAUACAAAUAUAUUGACUAGUUUAAUUGAUAAAGAUUUUAAAGAAUUAUUGUAAUGUCAUAGUUUAAUUUACAACGUUUCCCCUUUAUAAAAAAUAUAAUAUUAAUAUAAUAAAUCUUUGAAAAAAAAAAAACUUAUGUUAAGACAUUUUGGAUCCCGAAAGUUUCGCUGAUAGUAUUUUUUUUUCAAAAUAAUUAUUCUACCUCUAUCGAUCGACCAUCACCCAUCAAUCACUCUACCUUCUAAUUCUUUACUCUUUUAGUCACUUAUCUUCGUAGCUAACCUCGUCAAUAAGAAUAUAAGUGGAGUAAUAGAAACAUCUCAAAAGAAGACGAUAGUGAUUCUGAUAAAGACAUAAGUUAAAUAGUCAUUCGAUCUUGCCAAAUAGGUUACCUAGAAUUUUUUUAAAAGUUGAGAAGCUCUAUAGAAAAUUUUCAAAUUUAAAAUAAUUUUUGAAUAAUUCUUUUAGUAUUUAUAUAUCUCAAAUAAUAUAAUUAGUGAACUAAUGUAUAACGUAUAAGGAAAAACAUAAAACAAAUGCAGCCUAGUAAAUAAUCUAUAAUGUAUAGGAAGAAAUUAAGAGUAUUCCUAAAAUUGACAUUUAAUUAAAGUACAAGAACGCUUGAUCAUCCAGUACAAUAAUCAACACUAAUUCACAUGAAGGGCAUAUUUAUGAAGGGGUGUGACCCAAUAUAACAGUGUUGUUAACACGUGUCACUCUUAAUCCAAGUUAUCAACCUUGGGAUAUAUAUAUAUAUAUUGUUGGUACAGCGUAUGGUGCAUGGGCAGGGAAGGGAGGAUGGACAACGGACAUGCAUGCAUCUGCCCUUGUCGAAUGGAACAUGCAUCUGGCUGUCACCGUCACAGCAUAAAAAAUAGAAACGUACUCAAUUCGACAAGCAUUGCAUUCACGCUGAGUCAAGCUUACAUAAGUUGACGUAAAUAUGACCCAUAAGCUCACAAGCAAUCCUAACAAUAACGAUGAUAAUAAAGUCUUAGUUGACACCUUUGAUUUAAGAAAAAAUAUGUUUUAGCAUUAACCUAAGACGAUUAAAGAAGAUAAAAACAACAUGCGUUCAUUGAUUAAAACGGCUAGAAAACAUAAUGUAAAGAAAGUUAUGUUAAAUACAAUAUUAAUAGGAAAAGAGCCAAUAAUUAAUUUUUUAACGCUUUUAAAUGUAAUACAUGUUAUUUAGUCUAUGACGGAUGUGAUCUUUUGCUAGCUGUUGAUAAAUUAGGGCCCAGAAAAGGCCCAACUCAUACUGGCUUUGUUAGAGUGCGCGGCCCAUUUGUGCUUGAUCAGUGCCACGGUCCAUGUCAUGCUCCGCCCGGUGGGCGCUGACGGCACCACCGACUACAGCCGAGAUGAGAGUCUUACUCCUUCCAAGUGCCGACGACAAUGACAUUACAGCGAGUCCACAAACAGUCGAUGUCUUAUUCUCCUGUAGUAGGAAACAACACAAGCACAACAUACGGCGGCUAGUUGAUUUCGAUCUCCCUUGCGUUGCUCUUCUUCUCCUCCGACCUGGGUAUGUAGAUGCGCAGGAUCCCGUCCCUCAGCUCCGCCCUAAUCUCGUCCGCCUUGGCGUCUUCCGGCAGCAGUAAGGUGGCGUUGAUGUACCCGUACCUCCUCGUGUGCCAGCCGCCGUCCCCCUCGUCCUCCGUCGUCGAUGACGACGACUCGUCCCCUGCGUCCUCGUCCUCGGACUCCCCGGUUAUCACCAGCAUCCCCUCUUCCACCGUGACUCGCAGGUCUUCCUUUCUCAGGCCUGGCACCUCGUACCGCAGCUUGUAGCACUUGUCGUCCUCCUUCAGCCGGCCGAGCAGGCGAGAUGGCGACAACCUCUCCAACAGCCCGUUCAGGUUCUCCGACACCUGCAGGAGCGCAUUCCCGAACCCUGACGAAAACAGAGAAACCAGGUCGGCACAGGUGGAGUCAGCCGUAGUGGAUUCUUUGGUCAUCACUGCGUACCAUCGUUGAGGUGGAAGGGACUGAGGUCCCAGGGAUUCCUCCAUGAGAGCCGACGGCUGCGGCGUCCCCGAGCAGGGGAAGGUGCACGAGUCGCCGCCACCUGAUCACUUCUGUCUUCCGGAGAAGAGUCGGCAGCAGCGUCUCCGGAAGAAGAGUAAGGGAAGGAAGGCGCCGCCGCGAGUCCUCUUAAGCGUGCGGCUCCCCCAGUGUGCAGCAACGAGAAGGAGCGGCUUCGGAGAGCGUUGCUGAGGCAAGCACGAGCUAGAGCCAUCACAGACGAGGAUCAAACUAUGGGAAUCAAGGAGAAACGUCGGAAUUAAAUAUGGUGGGUUGGCUGCUGAGAGAAGAAGAAUGGAGGAGUCCAAAACCUUCCAGCAAGGUCACGAGAGAGAGAGAGAGAGAGAGAGAGAGACAGAGAGAGGAUCGAAGAAGCACGUAGAGUGUUCUGGAGGGAAGCGCAGGUGACGCCACGUUCUUGGCUUAGGCAAUACGCGCGUCAACACUGAGCUGCAUCUCAGCGGUUGGAUUGACUGGGAAUUCCAAGUGGCUACUGCUGCUAAUGUUGUGAUGAGGCGAAUUUGAUUUACCAUUAUCUUUUAUGGAAUAUACGGUUUCUAUGAAUUUAUGAUAAUUAUAUAUCUUACGUUCAAAUUUUAAUUAAUGAAUAUAAAAUUUAUGAAACUAAGAGUCAUUUGAUAAAAUUAUAAUUCAAAAGAUGAUUGAACAUUUAGGAACAAAAUUUUCUAUAAAUUGGUAAAAAAAAGGUCAAAUUAUGUUGACAAUUAUAAAAGUAAAUUACUAGAACAAAUUCUUUAACCUAAUUAUAAAUUAUUUCAAGAGGUAAGAAAAUAACGAUAUAUCAAAUGAAAUUGAUGAUUUUUUUCACAAAGGCAAAAGUCAACUAUUAUCAGCCUCAAAUAGGGAUAAAGACUAAUUUUUAGGAAUCUAAAAAAUGGAUGACCUUGAGCAUCAUAGGGGUCUGAUGCGAAUUGGACACAUAGGUGAUUGACUUUAGGUCAAGUGACGCCACGUUCUUGGCUUAGGCAAUACGCGCGUCAACAGUGAGCUGCAUCUCAGCGGUGGGAUUGCCUGCGAAUUCUUUGUGGCUACUGCUGCUAAUGGUUUGCUCCGUUUUGUGAUGAGACGAAUAUGAUUUACCAUUAUCUUUUAUGAGAUGUCCUCACAAUAUAUGCGUAUGCAAAGGAUGAUACGAAGGAUCCGUAAAAUAAUAAGUUGAUUAGUUUAAAAAUGAGUGACGGACAAGUCCCGAUAUCUCACGAAGAAAUGAUGUCUCACGAAGAAAGAAGUUUUACAAGUAAUUCAACGAGCAUAUUGAGUGCAAGAGAGAAAAAAAAAAAUUAAAUAAAGAUUUUAGAAGAUUAAAUGAAUAGUUAUAAGUCAGUAAAUAAUUAUUUAUCGGGUGUCGAGAGCGAAGGUAAGUUAUCGUCAAGUUAACUUGAGAGAAGACUAAAUAUAUAAAAUAAUUUUGAAUAUAUGAUUUCUAUAAAUUUACAAUAAUUAUAUAUCUUAUGUUUAAAUUGUAAUUAAUGAAUAUAAAAUUCAUGAAACUAAGAGUCAUUUGAUAAAAUUAUAAUUCAAAAGAUGAUUGAACAUUUAGUAAUAAAUUUUUCUAUAAAUUGAUAAAAAAAAGGUCACAUUAUGUUGACAAUUAUAAAAGGAAAUUACUAGAAUAAAUUUUUAACCUAAUUAUAAAUUAUUUCAAGAGGUAAGAACGUAACGACAUACCAAAUGAAAGUUGAUGAUUUUUUUCACAAAGGCAAAAGUUAAAUAUUAUUAGCCUAAUUAAAAAUCUAAAAAUCGGAUGACCUAACAAAAAUUAAAAAUUAAAAUCAAUUCCUUUAUAGUUAAAAAUAAUUAAUAAAUUAUUUUGGUGAUAAAAUUAAAAGAACUGAGUGUACUUAGAAACCAUAUUUUUUAUCUAGUGUGUUCCACAAUAGUGACAAAAUGGAGUGGGUAAAGAACAUCAAUUUCAAUCAAUGCUUCCACAGCCUACCUUAAAGUAAUAAAUGUUAAGACCAAUUAAUUUUGUGGUGGGACCCAAGCUGUCAAGGAUAAAUAAAAUUAUAUUUGGCUUUGACAACACCAACCCAAAGGCAAUCAUUCUUAAAAAAUUAAUUGAUCCACAUAUAUCUUGGUGAUUGAUCCACGAAUCAUAAAUUAAUUGAAGAUUUCAGUAAGUAAGGAAUACAAAGUUGUCGUUCUAUAUAUAUGCCUCUAUCAUUUUCUAUUCUAGUGAAUUACUAUUUUUGAUAUUUAUGUAUGAAAAAAAUAAGAUGACGAUUUAACAAGAGUGAUACAUCCAAAUUUAAAAUUUGAAAGGAUUGCUACUCCGAAUUUUUGUUGAAGGUUCGAACACUCUAAGCUACUGUUCAUGAUCAUUAUGAAGAAAUCUUUUACGAAGAAGAUAUAUUAGUUAUAUUUAUAUAUCUUGAGAUAUUUAAAAAAAUAAUAUUUCGUUGAAAGGUUCUAUACAUAUAUCGUUUCUCAACGCAUUUCUUUAGAGAAAGGCUCCAUUUUUUUUUUCUUUUCGGAUGAUAAAUAUUUCUCAAAAUUAACAAAAAAAAUACAACUUGAGCAAUGCUCAAUGAAUUGACAACUCAAAUAAAAACUCUGAAAGAAAUAGGAUCACUUAGCCAUGCUUAAUAAUUGAAAAAAUUGGCACCAUGUAAGUACAUGCCACUAGUCAAAGAAAGAUAACGGAGAGUUGACUAAAAUAAACACUUAAUAUUUGACGUGACUUCAAUUGCCACAAGUGAAAUUACGAUAAAAGAUGUGAUAUGCAGAUAGCUAGAUAGCUAUAUUGUCAUGCACUAAAUAAAUAUUACUCUUAUUAUACAAUUCAAUCAUAUUCUAUAUAUUCUACUCGCAAAAAAAGAAUUUAAUUUUUUUUUUUGAAAAUGAAAUGAAACUCAAAUAUAAUUAAGUAUGCAAAACACUAUAUUGUUUCUGUCUUUCUUUCUUAAUCACGUCCUUCUAAUUCAUUGGUCAAUUUGUAUGAUCAUUCAGUAAUUUCUUUUUUUUCAGUUUUUUUCAGCUAUUCUCUUUUUAAAAUUCCGUAAGCUUCAUUCUCACUACAUAAAAUUACAUGAAAAGAGAAUCUUUUGUUACAAUAGAACAAAAAGUGAUUUGGACCAUCUUUUAUAUAAUUUUCAUAGAUGGAUUUUAGCUACCAACUUUCAUUGAGUCUCUGCACCUAUCCUUUUAAAUUCUAGUUUUAUAAACCUUUGUUUUCUUUUUUCAUUUUUUUUUUACCAAAGUGACAAGGUACUUUGAAAUAAAUAAUUAUUUCGAUGGAACCGGAAAUUAAUCGUUGAUACACGAUACAAACCAUUAAUGUCUCUUAAUUACUAGAUUAUCUUUCAAGUGCACUAAUAAAUUUUACGAUGAUAAAUAAUUUAUUUCUAAUGGUUGAAUGAUAAAAUUUCUCUGUUUGAAGGAGUCAUUGAAGCUAGAUAAAAAAAAAAAGGUACUGACUUAACUAGUAAGUAACUUGGACAAGGUCGGGGGAAUAAACCUUUCGUAUAAAAUUAAAGGUAAUAAAAUUAUCUACAAAUGAAGUCUUAAAAUUCGAAUUCGAACCAGUAGAUAAGCUAGAUAAAGAGAAAAAGUAAAUGAUGAGAAAUAUAUCUGGAUGUAAUGUUGAUUCAGAAAGAUUUAACUCUUAUAUAAUUAAUAAAAAGGGGAAUAUUACUACAUGUGAUGCGUGAAUUAUCUUAUGAUAAACCAAAGGAAGAUGAGGAUGAUAUCAAGUCAUUGUGCCCCUUAUGCCCCGGGCGACACACGUCGUGAUCCCGUGAAAGUGAGCUAACCCCAAAAGCUACAAUUCACCCUCAUGAAGUCUAGAAAGAUUAGAAUCAAAUGAAAAAAACAUAUAGGUGAUGAGGAGAAAAUAAAAUAUCAAGAUAAUUGCGCAGAAAAAUACUUUCUUAUGUACCAAGAUAAGAAAAUAUUAUAUUUAGUAAUAUUGAUAAUAUUUAGAAACAAUAUUAACAUAAUAUUUGGAGUGUGUAGAGCGAGUUAAAGGUCUGAUGUGAUGUGAUGGGAUGGGAUGGGAUGUUUUGACUGCUAAUUUGGUCAUUUUCCAGAAAAAAGACCUAAAGAGUGAAAAGUAUGAUUGGCAGCGAGAGCUACAAAUUGUGGUAAUAUGAUCCAUUAUGUCACACAGCUCACAGACAAUUGCCGUAUGAUUGGCUCAAUCGAGUCGCCCAAAUGACUAAUGAAAAUUAGAAGUUUCAUGAUUGAUGAUCAAAUUAAUUAAUUGCCUUUAUCACCACUUAUUAAUGAUCAAAUUAAUCAAAUGAUUAUUUUAUCUCAAUUGCAACCCAAAGAAAUAUAUAUUUCUCUCUUAUCAAAAAGAUGCUUUCCAACCGAAAGCUGGAUGAUGGCACAGCGCAGGGUGGGUCUCAUGCAUUGCUGUUGUCGCGUGCCAUUGCUCGAGAUGUUCCCCGCAUAUUCUUCGACAGUCACUGUGGUGGGAGGGCGAUUCCUCAUCCACCGCUGCUCGAGGACGAUGACAAGUCUUCCUGCUCUCAGGCUGACGCCAUGACCCACUCGUUGACCGACCGCAACAGUUGUAUUCUUCCUGUUAAGAGUUGUGCUCGAGAUAAGGAGAAAAGAAGCUCGGAUGCAGGUCAAUCUUGUUCUUCGAGAACUCGAUGACUAAUUACACAGAGUUAGGAGUAAUCCGAGCAUGUUGUUCUUCCACUGGAACAACGAGCCGAGGAAGAAGCACAACAAGAAGAAGAGAAAUCAUUCAUACAACAGACGAUGAUGAUGAUGAUGAUGACGACGACGAUCAGUAGCAGCAGGACAUCCUCUGCAUCCCCCGAUCUCUGAGAAUUCCAUUGUACAGGGCGGCUCUGUUCGCCGGCAUCCGGCUCGCCUCCAGCCCUUCUCCUCCUCGACGACGAUCUCCGAGCGAGUGAUCCUCCGCCGAGCUCCCCAGGUCGAACUCCACCACUUCGGCCGCGAACUGAACUCGCUUCUUCUUCUUCCUGUUCGCCCUCGCCCUCUUCCUCUCCUCUGCGCAUUGACGACCUCCAUCAGCUUAGAGAAAGCAAAGUGGGAACAGAGAGGAGGGAUUCAGCAGGAGGCUCGCACCGGAAGAGGACAUGCAGGACCGCAGAUUGCGCCACGGAGGAGGUGCCGGGACGGUGGCGGAGGAGAGAGAGAAGGGCUUCUGCCGGCGGAGGGCGAUCAGGAUGACGGUGCCGGAGACGGCCACGGCGGUUGCCAGGACCACCCCGUGAGCGCUCAUGAGCGAGGAAGCCGACAUGAGGGGGGAGGAGGGGCCGAGGGCGGCGGCUUCGUUUGUCGCUGCUACAAGUCCGUGACAUGUGCAACCGCAGUGUCGGCUUUAUACUUGUUUACACGGCAAGAAACGAAGAGAGAGAAGGAAAAAGAAGGCUAAUAAAGAUUCGAUGUUAGGCAGUGGAAGAGGUUGGAUUGGCGGUUGCCAUCUCAAUUUUAUAUGAACAAUGAUGGAUCAUGACAUCCAUAAUUAACGAUCGCAGAUUCUAAUCUUAUCCACUUAAAUUUCAGUACAUAUUUAUGUCUAGUUUAGGUUGAGCAUUAGAUAAGAUGGAAGAAGAAGUUCUACAGUGCCAGUGAGGAUGUCAUCUUCUGGGAAUCUUCAAGUCGAGGAAGGCCGGACGGGGACUGCUGGACCUGUUGGUAUCGGUGGCUCUUAGGGGGGGCCGUCUGUCUUCGGGCCACUUCGGAGACUCAAAAGACGAACGCACCAGCACGGAUGAAGAGAAACGGAGGUGGUGGGGGAAGCUGUCGCUGUUUGCUGACUCUGUCGACCGACGCCUUGCUUUUCCGCUGAGGUUUGAAAAGACGGAUGAUGCGUCUGCUUUACUUGAGAAUGACGCCAAGGCGGGCGUUGGUCUCCGUGACGAAGCGGGCGAAGGACGAUGGACGAUGGGGGCGCGUGUCGACCAUUGGCGACCCCUGAGAAGCUCCGCCGGUGCAAGAAGUGCAGAGAAGUUUGGCGCACAGCACAACACAACAAAGAAAAUUAACUUAUACGUAUAUAGGACGAAUUUAAAGAGAAAAAUAAAUCUUAUUCUUGAAUUCUUAUUUUCAGAAUUUUCUAACGAUAUUUUUUUUCUAUUUCUUAAAAUACUUUCUUUUUAUCCUCCUAUCUUCUUUAUAAUCUAUUAUAAUACUUUUUAAUUUUUAUAAUAUAUAUUAUAUUAUAUUAUAUUAUAGUAUUUUUUUAAUAAUAUUAAAAAAUCAUGAUAUAAAAUUUGUAUUCUAUGUUAUAAUAUUUUUCUAAUAUUAUUAAAAAUAGUAUAAUAUAAUAUAAAGACACAAUAACUAAUUGGGUCAAAAGGAAAGACAAAAAAAAUGGUGGGUGGGGUAGGUGGGGAUAUUUCAUAUAUUAGGAAAAAAAUGAGAGUGACGUAGGAAAUACUAAAAAUGGAGACACUUCAUAAGAAAAACCUAAAAAGAUGGAUCUUCAUCUUUUUAUAAUCAUUGGAAUAUCCUUGACAUGACUAAAUUAUUUUUUCUGCCCAAACUUCUAUACAUUUAGUCUAAUCUUUCAUAUAUAAAACAUACUGUGUUAGUUAGAAUAUUUUUUAAUUUAUAUGAUAUUUUUCACACCUCUUUCAAAAUAUUAUAACUUUAUUAAAAAAUAUUUUUUACACCUAUAUAUUGAUUAAAAAAUUAAAAAUUAUUAUUAUAGCUUAUCAAGGAUAUAUUGGAACUACGAUAAAAGAGGACACCGAUGACAAAGAUAAAAAAGAUAUGCACCUCUUAGAAAAACCUAAAAAAGAUAUUUUUUUUUAAAAUUCAUGUAUAUAAUAUAUAACAAAAAUUUUAAAAAACUAUUUUUUUAUUAAUUUUUAUUUUUUUAUAUUUUCUAAAGAGCACCUCUAUUUAUCUAAUCCCUGAAAUGUCUCUUGAUAAGAUGAUUAGAAUAGUAUCUAGUUACAUUAUAUAAAUUGGUUCAUAAGAUAAAUCAAUCCAAUUCCUUGUAUAUAAGAUUUAUAGUAUUGUUUAUAGUGUUUUUGAUAGAUCUAGUAAAACACAAUAAUCUUACUCAAAAAAGACUAUAACUAAGGUAAAAUUGAUUCAAAACUUAAUAAAAACUAGUUUGUAUACAAAUGUAGGAUUUCAAAUUAGUAUUUUAUUGAUUUAUGAACAAUAAAAUCUAAUUUAGAUACUUUUAUAUUUUUUACGUAUGUUUAUAGUAUUUUUUUUUUAAAUUAUGAAUCCAUUAAAAAUAGAUUCAUAAAAAAAAUUAUGAGUGUAUUAUGAGAAAUAUAAAUAAAAAGAUAUCGAAUGAAAAAUAUGAGAAAAAAAUCUCUAGAUGAAAAUAAAAAAUAGAAGUUUUUUCUCAACAAUUCGUAUAUAUUAUUGAUGACAAUAUUGAAAGAUAGCUCUUGACGGAUCGAAUGCAAUGCAUCAUUUUCCACGAGCUUCAUGUCAUCAAAUUUUCACUCAAAGGAGAAGUAAAACAUGCAUAAAAAAAAUACGAUGCUAAUGAGAACUAACGAGAGACAAUGAUAGAAAAAUAUUGAAAGUCAUGAGAGCCCUAUCUCAUUAGCUUAUGGCUGAUGGAACUUACUGUGAUGAGCACCGUCCUCUAAUGCUGAGAACCCUAACACUCUUAUGAACGGUGGUGACAAUUUGCAUGUCAUGAAUAGUGGGUGUGGUCCACUCGAUAGCUAAAUUAUGUGGACAAAGAUAAUUCAAUCUAAAAGAAAACUUCCAUGUUGGAUAAAAAUCGUUAUUAUCUCAUAAUGUUGAUGCAUUAUGGUAUGUGAAACAGUUUGAUUUCUUGAGUUCUUGGGCUUCUAGAAAAAUUGUGGAUCAACUUUCAUCAAGUGUCUAUGAGAGGGUAUAAAAUGGACUUUGGAUUAAUAUUUUUAUUUUUUAUUAUUUAAAUAGAUAUAGAAAGAUUUUAGAAUUUUUUAGCCAUUUUAUUAUUUUAUUAAUUUAAAAUUUCUCUAACAGAUAUAGAAUGAUUAUGGACCAAGACAUGAUAAAAUAUUAAUACGAAAGUAAUAAAAAUUUUGAUAAUUUAUCGUAAGAUUUUAGGUUCGAAUCCUGACUUUGUCACUUAUCGUAAUCGUAUGAGAUUAAUCUAUGGUCCUUGUAACACUAACAAGAACAAUAUACCUACAGUAGUUGUUAUUUAUUUCUUAGAUGACAAGCCUAGAUAAAACUUUAUAAAGAUGUAGUUGGAACCCAUAUCACCUAAUGAAGGCUAAUGAACUAUCCCCAACCACACAGCUUAAAGCUAGUGUUUUUGGGUACAUCCAGUGGGGUGGUGAUGAAGGUAAUAAAUGGCCUCAUGUGUUUUCUUCUCUUCACCUCUGCAUUCACUGAGAACAUGUACUGAUCUCGCUGCUUUAACGAAAGGCCUCUUCUUGCCCGUUAUCAUGUAUGUACGUCUGUGGUUUAUCUGAGAACAAGUGCUGAUCCAUUUAGGUUGCAGAUAUGAGGAGGAGAGAUUAGCUGUGUCGGACUUUUCUUUCUUUGUUCUUGUUCAUGUCCCAUGUCGUGUAGAUGGAAUAUGUGCAGGAAAUCUAAACCUCUGGGGACCAAAAGGAUGAAUGCAAACGAAAGGAAGAAACUUCGAGCAUUUAUAAUACCAUCUGCAGAGCUCUGGUGUGCCUUUAAUUUGGCCUCAUGCAUGAGCUUUCAAUGACAACCAAGUCUCGGUUGACAUGACAGACCCUUGGCUCAGAUUAGUAAUGAAUAUGGAGAGAGAGAUGUCUUCUUUGUGUGGGUGAGAUACACAAAUGAAUAUGGAGAGAGAGUGAGAGAGAGAGAGAGAGAGAGAGAGACAGAGGUCUUCUUUGUGUCGAGGCUCGUGGCUGGUCCAGCUUCAUGGCUGCAGAGAGUACCAACAGCUGUGUUCACUCUAUGGGUUUUCAGAAGCAGGUGAACUAUGGAUUCAAUGACGAGUGAAAAAAGUCAAAUGAAGACAACACAGGUCAAGAAAACCUACUUCCAUAAAUCAAAGAUGGAUAGAGAGCCUUAUUUACCGCGACGAGUUCAUCGUAAAUAUGAGCUGUAUGAUGAGCACAAGCAAAUGGGAAGAAGAUGAUGUUUACGGUGAAAGGAUCACAAGUAUUGACUUCUGGUUGAUGCCAUGAUGCUGGUCUUCCUUGUUCGAGAUAAGAUAAUAGAAACAAGAGGUUGGAUCUGCUUUUAUGACGAUGCACAGGAUCGGAUCGAUCUGUGAAAGUAUUCAUGACAUUUUCUUACCUUGAGUGGAUGGAUCGGAGUAUAUUGCAGUCUAUAUAUAUUUGGAUUACCGACAGCAAAGAUGAAGUACUGCAAUCAUAUUUCAACACAAAGAAACUUGGUAGCUGAUAGAUGAUUGAUUCAUGAUUCAGCUCAUGCAUUGAUUACUAUCAUCGCCAUCACCAACUGAUGAUGCCUUGAUCUCAUGCAACUGCUUUCAGUGGUCUUUCUGUAUACCUUUUGCUCUUAAUUACAAGUGCUAAUCUCAUCAGACUUGCCAACAAUAUGUUUGUCAUUGUCAGGGGUCUAUUUUAUGGACUCUCAUACGACUGCAUUCAUUCAUUCUUUAGUGCAACCAUCUGCUUCAUGCAACAACAUGAUGAAACAAUAUAAGAGAUAUCAUUAGAUAUUAAGCUGAUUGAUUUACCCUGCAUAACAGUCAUUCUUUUGUUCUCUUGUUUGACAAGCUGUAUUGGUCCGAUGGAAGAUUAUGUUGUCUCGGAUCAGUGACAGAGAAGACAGGUAUAGGAAGGCUGUAAGCUUGAAGAAUUGAAUGAGUUGUUGUUCAUGGGCGUAGGUGGAGUUUAUUACCACUCCACUAUGUGUGGUAGAGAGCAUAUGGCCUCGCUUCACCGACAAAUCUGCCACCUUCUGCUCAAUGCCUCCCUGCACAUUCUCCUCCCUCUUAUUGUGACACCCUCCCCCUUCCUUCCCCACCUUCUUUCUCAAGUUAUAGCUACUCGCUCCUCUCUCUCUAGUAGAAACCCUGGAGAUUCUGUACUUUGCAGGCGGUGAAAAGGAAGCGCGUCUUUACUUCUCUGGUCUCCUUCCUAUAUAUCUCUUCCUCCCUGCCUUCUCUUGUCCGGCUGCCAGAGUUUUACUGCAAGAACAGCAUCAUGGUACAGUUGAAGAAGUUCCGAGGAGUCAGACAGCGCCAUUGGGGCUCCUGGGUCUCUGAGAUAAGACAUCCUCUUCUGUAAGUAGUACUUGUGAUUCCCCACAAAGAUGGAGUACCUGUUGAUUCCUUGCUGUUUCUUUCCUCUCAACCUAUGUUGGACGAUGAAGGCAUUACUUUCGUUCUUUUCCUCUUGUGGUUGUGCAUGCGAUGCGGCCAGCAAGCGAAGGGUGUGGCUCGGCACCUUCGAGACGGCCGAGGAGGCGGCGCGAGCCUACGACGAGGCGUCGGUGCUCAUGUGCGGGCGCAACGCGAAGACCAACUUCCCCGUGCCCUUGAACCCCGACGGGGACCCCGGCGCGGUCGCCGCCCACGAGUCCUCCAAGGCCGCCCUGUCGGAGGUCCUCAGUGCUAAGCUCCGCAAGUGCUGCAAGGCCACCCCGUCCCCCUCGCUCACCUGCCUCCGCCUCGACACCGAGAAGUCCCACAUCGGGGUGUGGCAGAAGCGAGCCGGCACGCGCGCCGACUCCAGCUGGGUCAUGACCGUGGAGCUCGGCAACGCCAAGGAGGCCAUGAUGCGGCCGUCUUCGCUCGCAGGGGAUCAGGGGACGUCGUCGCAGGGGGCGGUCGGAGGGGUGGACGACGAAGAGAGGGUGGCGUUGCAGAUGAUAGAAGAGCUCCUCAGCAGGAAUCGCCCAACCCCCGCUUCACAUGCAGGUGAAGACGGCUUCUUCGUCUAGGCCACAUCGCAGCUCAAGGAUAAUUCUAGUAGGUCUCAUCUUGUUUGGUCUGUCUGUGAAUACAACCAUAUAUAGAUCACAUCAUCCAUCUCUAUCAUCCCAUCGAGUAGCAGUCUGUCUCAUGCACUUGAAGAUGGUGAGAAGGAUUGCAGUAAGCAUCUAUGUAUCUUUGUUUCCUCAUCUAAGAGUUCACAUGCACAAUCAAAUCAUGUAACAUGAAAGUGAUGCGAGUGUAACAAUACGAUCUUAAUUACAAGCACAACCUUCGCUUAAGAGAUAUCAUAAGCUCAAAUGGUUGCUUUCAUGUCCUCCAAAUAUAAAUCUUUCUGUGAUAACUGCAUCUAUCUAUCGAUCUAUUUAUCUAUCUAUCUAUCUAUCUAUCCACCACUAUGACUGAUCAAUGGAAAGACCCAAUGGGAACAUUUAAGUAGGAUCUUAGUCAUCAGAUUGAGAAUAUAACAUAGUAUCGACUACCACAAAUUAUCUUCCUGUUUAAAGUCUUUAGGAUCUUGCAGCCAUAUCUCCUUCACUCCUGUGGGAUUCCUAACAAUUAGUUCUACAGAGUUCUUAUGAUGGCACAAGUAAAAGCUGCCAUGAUGCUGCAGUAGAUGCUGUAAGCUGCGCCUCUCUCAUACUGCAGUUUACUUCAGCUCAUUCAAUCAACAAAUCUCAUACAAGAAGAAGAUGAGAGAAUUGUUCCCUGCACACAAAGUUCAGUCAUAUUGAGUUUCUAGCUAAGUAGAAUUAUUUUUAUCAUUAUAAGAUGGAUUUGUGAUGCUAGAAAAAUGAAUGUUGCAUGCUUUGAGGUUUGUGAAUACAGCUGAGGAGAAGUCCUUGCACUGUUACAUGCUCAACCCCAGUUUCUAUUGGUCACUGUUUCAUGUAAAUCCAUAUCACUUUGAGUCAAUUUUAGGUGCUUGCUUAAUUAACACUCAUCUUGUUUCUGGACCAUAAACACAAUUAACUCCAAGUAAAUCCACCAAUAAUGUGUUCUUACUCAAAACAAAAAGCUGAGAACACUGCAAUAACAUUUAUUCUUGGUUCUCAUUAAACAAGACAAAUUAAGGAGCUAAAGAUGCUCAACAAUUUAGCUCUGGCUGGCUGUGAUUCUUUUUGAGGGAUCAUAAUCACAGUAAGCUGAUGCAACCUUUAGGCAAAGAAAGGAAAGAGGUAUGUAGGAUUCCUACAAGUGAAGGAUCUACAAGUUCUUGGGGAAUAAGAUUCAAAGUACCAAAAUAAAGAAAGAUGAGGGCAAGUAGGGCAAGGUAACUCCAGGCACAUUAAUAAGAGUUGGGGUAGAUGACAAUGGGGAGUCCAAAGGUCGUUGAGUGCCAUAAAUGUGCCUUAUAAUUGAGGAAAUAAUUGAAAUUAGGUCACCUCCCAACUAGAUUACUAUCCACAUCUUAGAUUUGGAUGUUCUGGACACCACUACUUUUUAGAUUGACUGAAUCACCUUGGAAACAGUUCUCAAUAUGACAAACCUUUUUAGAGUGAUUUACUUCAUUUCCAAAACCACAAGGAAAUCAAAAGAAUGGAUUGGCAUGAGACAAAUCUUAGGUAAGUUGUCUCAAUAAGGUAAACAGAUGUUAGUGGCAUGAAUAUUAUUAUAGAAAGGUUUUUAAGGUUUUAAAGACAAUAAAAAUGUUUCUUAAAAACUUUUGAAUGAAGUUAUACUGUUUUGGGAACCUUAUUAAAAAAAAGGAGAUAAUCUCAUUCAAAAACAAUAUAACUCACAUUCAACAUAUUCCAAAAUUUUUAAUUUUUUUUAAAAUAUAUUGCAAAUAACUUUAAAUGCAUGAAUGAUUAUCUUUUCUUUUUUGAGCCAUUAAAAUAUUAUUUAUUUAUUUAUUUUAGCCCUUUAAAAUAUAAAAUUAGAUUUUUUUUUAAUUUUACCCAAUUUAUGGUGAAUUUACCACAACCUUGGUCCAAAAACCACCUGUACAUGGUAUAAUGAGGUUUUAAAGAUAUUAAAAUUCUUUUUAAGAUUUAAGUUCAAUUAUUUUUUAAUAGAGUUACACUGACUUUUAGAUCAUAUUUAAAAAAUAAAUAAUAUUAUUAAAAAGUAUAACUCACAUUUUUUAAUAAAAAAUAUUAAUUUUUUUUAUAAAAAACAUAAAAAAUCUAAUGAAGCCAUAUUUUAUUUUAUUUAUUUAUUAGCAAUUAUUUUGUCAUAAUUUUAUUGCUUUCAUUAUAUUUAUAUUCAUAAUUUUAGAUUUUUUAUUAAAAUAAAUAUACAUUCAUAUUAUUUAAUUUAUUAGCUAUUAUUUAUCUCGGAUCGGUUUAAGUUUUGGGUCGAUUCAAUAUAAUGGAUUUGAAAAGGGCAGAGAGAGGAGGAAAAAUAAAAGAAUGAUUGAGAAUUUUUUUUGUUAUUUUAAAUAUUAAGGACUCCGAAAAUAGGAACCUUCUAGAAAACAAGAAAUAAAAUUAGUUUUUUAGAAAAUUUAUCCAUCAUCAUUUCCAUAGCAUUAACGUGAUAAAAUAGAAGGAAGCUUCUUCGGGACCGUUUCCACGUGGCUCCUGCGCGACGUCACUCUCGUCGGGACUUAGGGAACGACAGUGACGCGGCGCACUUUCCACGCGUGAAAGUGGGCUCCACCUCGUUUCAGCACCUGGGCCCCACCCUGUGCAUUCCGGGUAGAGGUGGACCGACGGUUUGGGCCCCAUAAGUGGGUCCCCCGAGGUUGUACCCAAUGAUGAAGAAGGUAACGCAGUUGGUCGACGAAACCCAAAAAAAAACAUAGGAUAAGAGAAACAUAAGGAAAACGAUGACGAGACGGUCCGUCUUCUUCUACCCGUCAAUCGACCCUUUUUGUUAUGGAAUCAGCGGUGAUGGGGCCCAAUCCAAAUUCCAUGGCCUCAUCCACUAACGAGGCAGUUCCCAAGCGAUCGCGUGUUGUUGUUAAGCUGAUGCGUGUUUUAGCAGCCACACCAAAAAUAAAGGAAGCCUAUUCCCCGUACUCUUCCUCUUUCUUGUCGCAAUCCCCCGUCUCGCAGAAGCCAAAACCUAACGGCAAUAACCAAAGUUCUCUUCCGACUACUCCUCGUUGUCUCCCCGCAAUUGCAUAAAUAUGGCAUCGUCCACACUCCCCAUCUCUCAACCCCGACAUUUCUCCGCUCCCCGUCGCCCUUCCCCUUCUCCCUUCUCCGCCUUCUUAGGGACACACCGACUACUCCUCCUCCGCCGCCCCCGGGUAGUUGCUGGCAACUGGUUGCGUCUGCGGGCCUUGGUCGUCAAAGCCACCACGACCGAGAUGCCGAAGCGGCAGACGCCAGGAAGGGCCGGCGGGUUCGUGGACGAGAUGAGAGCCGUCGCGAUGAAGCUGCACACAAGGGAUCAGGCCAAGGAAGGGGAGAAGGAGCCUGACUCGCCGCCCGUCAGCAAGUGGGAGCCUUCCGUUGAUGGUUACCUCCGGUUCUUGGUCGACAACAAGCUAGUCUAUGAUACCCUCGAGACCAUCGUCCAGAAGGCUGCCUACCCCUGUUGUAAGUUAUGUUCCAGUCUCUGAUCAACCUUUCAAUACUCCUUGAGUAGUGGUGCUCUCUUUCUUUUAAUUAUGUAGAUGAUUGAGUCCAAACAGAGAGAAAAAAAAAUAGAAUUGUUCACUCAAAUCCGUCCAUGGUGGUCAUUCAGAGCUGCUGUGAUUAUUGUCGCUUGACUUAACAGAAAUAAACUACCUCAUAGAGUUCGUUCUAUUUCUCUUUUAGUGUAAUUUAGUUAAGGUAUUUCCAGCUGAAAGAUUCACGUUAGAAUGAGUCAUAUGCAAAUCAUGUGGACUAAAUUGGUCAUAGAGUAGUAAUCAAGCAAUGCCUAGACUCAAUUUAGUUCGUUACUUUUUGUUCUAUUACUGGACAGAAUGGCAAGAUAUAUAAAGGUCUAUUAUUCCUCAUCCACAAGUAUCCAAAUUUUUUAUUGUCUAAUACUCCACAGAUAAUUCAAAUUGUAUAGGAACAAAGUCUCAAUGCAAAAGAGUGAAAAUGGGAGUCAGCAUAGGGUGCUGGUAAAGCCAUUCUUUCAAAGAGAAAGGUUCACAUAAUAUCCUAACACUUUGUUAGAUUAAUUGGUCAUCAAGGAAUUGAACACCAGAUACUGAAGCACCAUUUGCACUAACUGCAGAUUCUUUUCUUCCAAAAAGGAUUGUUUAUCUUGAAAUCAGAAAAUUGGGUACCUAGAUCAUUCGUUUGGAAACAAAAAUUUCUAAGGUCCCAUGCCAGUUCUGUUGGGAGGAUCAUGAGUCUGUCAUGUAGUGGGUUUGGAUAGGCAGUCUGAGACAUGAAGUAUAAAGUCAUUGAAGGAUAUGCAAGAUGAUGCAUGCAUAAGACCCUAGAUACCUUCUCUUGAUCACCAACUAUGCAUUGGUAAUUGUUUAUUGGUGUUGUUAGUCAUUAUUUAAUUGGAUGCUACAGGAAUAUGUUGGAACACAUGAUCAAUCAAAAGAAUAUUUAAAGUACUGGGACGACCUGAUAGCUAUUUAUGCUUUUUUUUAACCAAAACAGAAUAUAUAUUACUUUCUAGAACAAGUAUCAUAGGUUACAUCCAAGUGAAUAAAAAACAAGGAUCAGAGGGCCAUCCCCCUCUCCAAACUUUAGUAAUUUGACGAGUCCUGGCAUUAGUUUGUGAGCCAGUUAGUGACUCUGAUAACAUAAAUUAGCAGCCUGUGGUUUUCUUAGACUAUCAUAAGCUGCUACUGGGACCCAGAUAAGCUGCUUGUAUCAAUUGAGUGACACUCGGUCCAAGUCCUGGACUACUUGAUUACCCAUUCAAGUCCAACUAGUACUCUUGGACACAGGGAAGGGCAGAUCACCCUCAUAAGAGCUAAAGGAUCCCUGAACUUUUUCUUUGGAUGGCCAAUUGAACUAUGUCUCCAAGUAUACCACUUGCAGAAAAAUCUCUGAAAGGCAUAUGUCAGUGAAUAAAAAGAGAAGGCUGCAGCAAAUGCAUGAAGAGGAAUGUAUAUGAUCCGUAGAUUGGUUGUGUCCUAUAUUAUUUUGGAAUUGGGCAAUAAUAGCCUAUAAAAGAAUAGUUGUAUGCUCUUUGAGACUUCUUUUACUAGUAUUCUUUUUUAUUUUCAGCAUUGAAUUAGGUUUUUUUGUUUCUUAGCACAUAUGGAGGCCUUCCUCCUCCUUGAACUAGAGAAAUCCUGGCUAGAAGGGUCGAAUCCUAGCAGUCUUAUCAGAGCAAAAUCUGUUAUGUACUAAGUUUCAAUGAAAACAAAAAGCAUGGCCGAAGGGACCUCCACCAAUGCUGCAUACAUCAAAUUUCAAUAUAUAUUCUCAUAAUUUAAUGCCUUUAUGUUUUCUAUUAGGGAUUCAUCAUCAUCUAUUAAUUAUCAUUAACCCAAUUCAUCAGCUUUUAAAUUUUUUUAUGAUGGAAUGAUGUGAUAACAUAUAAUUAUUCAUGUAACAAGGAUGUUUUGAUUAAAGUUUUAACUUGAUUGUAAGUGAUUGCAAUUUAACUAAUAGUAAAUGGUUGGACCUUAGUUUGGUAUUAUAUUUGGCCAUUGUAUGCAGAUGCUGAGUUCAGAAAUACUGGCUUGGAAAGGUCCGAGAACUUGGUCCAAGAUUUAGAGUGGUUCAAAGACCAAGGACAUACCAUUCCUGAACCUUCUGUAGGUGCUUCUUAUGCUCAUUAUCUGGAAGAGCUAUCAGAAAAGAAUCCUCAAGCUUUCAUCUGCCACUUCUACAACAUAUAUUUUGCUCAUUCUGCUGGUGGUCGAAUGAUUGGUAGAAAGGUACUUGUCUGUAGCUUUUGUUUCCUUCAAUAGUGUUUGCAAACGUGAAUUUGUUGCACUCUUCUGAAAAAUUAAUUCAAGAUUACUACAGUUGCUAACAAAAUAGCUCCAUAUUUGCAUUUUUUGCCAUUAAGUUUUGAGUUCAUUUGGUUUUUUGCCUCUUUUUCAAAAAGUGUUCUUCUUGGAGAAUAAUUAUCAUUUGCCAGCUAAAUAUUUUGCCUAUUUUACAACAACAAGAAGCUGUAAAGUUCCGACCAUUUGGAUUGGCUAGAUGAAUAUUUUGCCUAUUUGCAUUAUAUAUAUCCAAACACUGAUGAAUUAUAAAUUCAUCUUAGCUUGUAGCAAAUGCUGCCUUGAAAAAUUUAUCAACCAAAUGUUCCAAUUUUAUGUUACAAAAGAAUUCAUCUAAAGCACUUAGAGAGUGGCUCUUUCCAAUUUAUUUGGAAUUGAAAACCUUUUAUAGAGACAUACUAAUGCAAAAGCCUCGUGCUAGAUAUUGUAUAAAAGGUCAUACUGAGUUGAGCAACUAUGUCCGCAAGUGGAUCCAGAAAAAGUUUAGUUUUUAUUUAGUGGGCUUAAUGCUGAGGCAUCCGCAUUAUUCCUUAAUGAUCGGUGCAGAUAAAGCUGUUAAGUUGCCUUGAAUUACUAAAGUAGGAGGCAUAAAUUGGUCCUCAGGCCAGCCCCAGGUUCAGAUUACACCCCUAUUGCCCCGUCCGUGUGGUGUUCAGUGCAUCCAUGCCUGAUGGCUGUACCCUUAGAAUUACACUGGUGCUACCCACAUUAUCCUUCAUACCGUCCUCUAUUAUUAUACUAACAUAUUUGCAUCCUUGACAUUGUCCAUUGAGUACCGAUUUAAAUCUCUGGCAUGGACUUACAUAGUUGACUUGGCCUUUAAUUGCAUCCAUUAGUUCGUUGUCGAUUUAACUGUCAAUCUCUGUCCCAUUGUAGGUAGCAGAGAAGAUCUUAGACAGCAAAGAGCUGCAGUUCUACAAGUGGGAUGGUGAUCUCUCCCAACUGUUGCAGAAUGUGCGAGACAAGCUGAACAGAGUUGCUUCGGUAUGACACAAAAACACACUAAAGAUACUGUUAUCCAGCAUGUUCUUGUCUGCUUUUUGUUUUAAUUUCUCAAGUUAUUGGUCGUAGCAGUCCACAUUGCAAAGCGUGGGUUUCUUGCUGAGCUGUUUUGCUACUCUUCUUUGCAGAGCUGGUCUAGAGAAGAGAAGGAUCAUUGCUUGGAAGAGACUGAGAAAUCCUUCAAAUAUUCAGGAGAGAUACUCCGUCUUAUAUUAUCGUAGAAGCUGAAGAAGAAUCCAUCAGCUUGCUAACUAUAAAUAUUCUUCCAGUUCCGCUUGGGGAAUUCAGUGAUGGAAAACUUGUCCACAUAUGUUUGUUCCUCAAAACUGUAUCAUAAUCUGUCCUUUAUUCGAAGACAGUUUCCUUCUUCUACUAAUCUGUGUUCAGUAACAAUUAAAUGUAAUCCGAUGUAAAUAUCGUGAAAUACUUAAAGAAAGAAACGAUUUUAUCUCUCUCACAAAGAAGAAGAUGCAAUCGAAAUUAGUGAUGUCACUUGUAGCUCAGUGUAUUGGGAGAUUGCAGAUGGGGGAUUACCGUGUGCAUUCGAUGUUUCGUACCUGGGCCGGCCCAUUUAUUUAUGGCCCAUUUAUUUAUGGAAGCCCUAAUGUCAUUGAAUGAUGAGGCGGGCCCGUAAUUUUCCUAUCACUGUGGCGCCUUCGUGUCGUCGGCUACGGCUACGGCUUCCUAACCGUAGACGGUGGAGGCGGCGGCAGAGCAAGGUGGAACGUCUCCGCACAUUGAGGCGGAGAAGUAUCAGAUCGAUUGGGGCAGCCUCGUGGCGUCCGAUCCCACGCACCACUUCCAAACCAUCCCAUCUUCUCGGUUCGUAACAGUCAUCUCUAUCUCCCUUUCUUCCUCGUUAACUGUUGAUGCUGAUGCGUGUAUGUGAGAAGAUUGUCUUCGUAAUUUUAGGUUUUCCGGAUUGCAACCAUUAAAAUUAGUUUAUUUGCGAAUGGUGUACUCGAUUGGUCUCCGAACCGUGCUAAAACCCCGUCCUUCACGACGGUUUAUGUAUAUAGCAUGAUGAUAUUGUUUCUGUUGUUACUCGAGCUCGAUUCCUUGUCUUCGUUGUGAUAACUAGGCAGGAGCUGACGAGGGCGUAUCUGGAAAAGGGCACCGAGCUGGGUCAAGCCCUAGCCGAUUCUCUUUUCGCCCUUCCGUCAAGCGACGACCCUGAUGGUCCCGUCGUUCUGCUGCCCCAGCCCACGACCAAGCUUCCGAGGGAGAAGCACGUAAGGUUUUGGAUUGUUGCGUUCAUCAUUCUUGUUUUUUUUUUUCUUUUAACUUCCUAUAUUUGCAAUUACUUGUUCUAUUGCAGCUUCGGUCGAUAAGGGUUGUCGUCCAAAUUAUGCAUUAUUUUUUUUGGUAAUGAAUUAGGAGUAAAAUGCAUUGUUGUUUUCUUGUAAAUUUGUGUGACGUGUUCUGUCUGUAUGGAGAAAAGAAAAGAAAGAUAUUUAGGCCUAUAACACUUGGAAAACAAGUUGUAUUUCAAAACCAGGGAAAACAGCAAGAGUAAUGAGCAAUGACAAAUAAUCAUUAGGCAUAAAAAUCGCAUGAUUUUCUAUCUUCCACAGAAGUUGGUCGCCACAGAUGCAAGGGGUACUGUAAUCACACAGUUGGUGCUCCUCUUUGAUUUGCUUGCAAUCAUUUUGUUAUUGUGGGGAUUAGGUAAUUUAGCUUUCAUUCAUAUCCGAAGUCGCAUUCAUGAUAGUAUUUUCUAGUCCUUCCAACAGUAAGUACUGAUAUUAAAUGCUGAUUUGUUAACCUGUGUUAGAGCACUUAUUGAAUGUGAAGUAGUUGAUCCAACUUAAGAUUAUGUUGCUUUUAGCUGUUUGAUGAAUAUCUAGUCCUCUCUGGAACCAAGUGCUAUGAGUUUGUUUUCGGGCUGCCUUUUCUCUUGGAAGGUAACUAGAAAUGUUUGCUGUUGUGGAUUCCUCCACAAAACUGCAUGCAUAUGUUUGAUUUCUGGUGCCUAUAUUUCCUUCUGGCAGGAAUUGAGUUCCCUGUUAUCUUCCCACUUGCAUUUUCAUGCGAUAAAUUACUAGAUGUAUGUACUUCCAACUUCGACUAUCAUAUUCCUUCACAUAUUUUUUUAUGACACUGAUUAAACUUUGCUUUUUUUCAGCUCCCAAAGCCUAAGCCUCCUACAAAGUGGGAAUUGUUUGCUAAGAUGAAAGGUUAGUUUUACAAGAAGUUUUCCCACUCUGCUAAUGGUUCUUUUUUCCAUCUUAUGAACAAACUGCUUAUUAUGUAUGGUAGGAUGCACAUGAUUCUGACUGAUCAAUUGUUCUUGCAGGCAUAAAGAAGCAUAAAAAAGAGAAGCAUGCGCUUGAUGAACAAACGGGUACUUGAAAGAGACAUCAUGGCUAUGACCAUGUAAAUGAUGAUAAGAUGAAAGGUUAGUCUUACAAGAUGAAAGGUUAGUCUUACAAGAAGUUUUCCCACUCUGCUAAUGGUUCUUUUUUCCAUCUUAUGAACAGACUUCUUAUUAUGUAUAGGUAGGAUGCACAUGAUUCUGACUGAUCAAUCGUUCUUGCAGGCAUAAAGAAGCAUAAAAAAGAGAAGCAUGCGCUUGAUGAACAAACGGGUACUUGAAAGAGACAUCAUGGCUAUGACCAUGUAAAUGAUGAUAAAGACAUACCAAUUAUUGAGGUCAAACUAGCAGAUGGUAAUGGUGUAAUUGAGUAUAUUUGCUUUAUGUAUUUAUUCUCGCAUAUCUGUUUUCUACUUCAUAGACAAAUCCACAACAGAAAGGAGAGUUUUGGGAAAACACUGCUUCAAUUGAAUAUUCAAAUAUAUAUUUUUGUUCAUGUACAGAGUUCUCUUUUGUUGUUGAUUGGAAACUGUGAGACUUUGAGAUGCUAGCAAUGUCUAAAAAGCAUCCAUGGUUUGCUGGCAGUCAGUGUGUCAGAUAGUGCAUAUGUGAUAUGCAGCCACAUUCGGAAAAGUGUACAUGUGGUUUGUAUUCUUUAAAAAAAAUAGGGUUUAAUAUGAUGAAUGUAGUAUUACCAUUAAGGCAUUACUGCUUGCUUGGUUUAAAUAAUUUGUACACGUUAUAGCACUGAACUUCUGAACUUCUUACAACUGUGGUAGCAAUUCUUGACCCAAUCCAUCAGUUGAACAUGAACCUGACAAAGAAUUUAUGUGUCAAUUUGGAUCAUCUAAGCAGGCCAAAUCCUGUUAAUUGUGUCAUCGUUGACUUGACUUGACUUAACCAGUCCUUUUUAUUAAGUAGGUCAAAUCAGGUUUCACGUGUAUUAGGUUUGGGAAUAAAUUUUUGACACAACUAAUAAAUGGUUCAUAUUUGGUUUGAGAUUAUUAUCCUACUAUGUACUUAACAUGUUCCUUUUUGUGUUUUUAAGCAAGUUAUUUAAGUUCAUAAAGUUAUGUUUUAUUUUCAAAAUCCUAUUAUGUUUAUCUAUUUGACAUGAGGCUUUGUUUUUCUAUUUUGAUAGUUUCAGCCUGUACUAUGAAUUGUGAAUUGUUUCAUCCAUUAAUUUUCCAAAAUUAUUAAGUGCAAAUAGUCUCAAUUGGAUCUUACCAAUAUAGAACAUGUUUUUUGAAUUCAACAUUUGCAUCGACCAAAUCCACGCCAACAUUAUAGCACAAGGAGGCUGCUCUGGAUAUGGGUUCUUCUUUUGGGAUCCGAGUGAUCUAGGAAGAAUCAGCUGGUUUAUCAUCAGAAAAGAGGAAGAACAAAUUUUAGUUACUUUUCCCAUCAGUUUGACCUACUUUUCUAAAUUGUUAGAGUUUCACAUACAAUGAUGAAUUUUAAAAAAUGGGUAAUUUUACUUUUCCCUUCAAUUGCUAAAUUUGUAGUUCCAUGUACAAUGACAUCUUACAAUUUGGGUAAUUUUAAUGUGUGCAUCACAUAUGCAUGAUCUAACUAUCAAAAAGUGGCUUUCUAUAGAGUUGUGACAUGGCUAGCAAGUCACACUUUAUUGUUAUCAAGUAGUCUAGUAUAUUUCCUUUUUAGACGUGCAUAAAUUUGUAUGAUUAUUUCAUUUCUGAAUUAUCAGAACUGCUCUUUCUGCAGAGCCAGGAGAGGAUCCCUUCAGCAAAAGGAAGGCUGAAAAGAAUAAACGAAUUGAAAAGCAAGAGAAGAACCGGCCAGAGAACUUAAAGCAAGCUGCAAAAGUUGGUGCCCUACCAAGGUUGUCUUUGUUUCCGAAACUGCCUUGUGAUAUUGAAUUAAGAUGGAAUUUAACAACAAAAGGUUCGUGGCAAUUCAUAUGUCAUUUGCUGUAUAGAUAACCCGGACUUUGCUUCUUGUACAAUUUUUUGCAAUGCUAGCUCUGGCAGGCAUGCAAUUCUUUGCAACUACUAGCAAAUGGGCUUAUAGUCAACCAUUGAGUAGUUACUUUUUUGUUAAUCAGAUUCAUAGACAUUAGCAAGUCUUGAAUGUUCUUAUGCUUACUUAGUAUAAUGUGUUAUAGACUAAGUCAAACAACUUAUUUUCUUUUCUACUGUCUGCCUUCUCCCCACCAAGUAUUCAAUAAUUUAUGCCCAUACAACUUCACAUGGCAGUCAUGUACAACUUGCUGCAACAGCAUUGCCGAUCACAGGAAGCCAGGCACCGAAGAAAGCCAGUAAAAAGGAGCUCGAGGAUAUAGCUGGGAUGGCGACAACAGCAACAGCAAGUGGUGGGAAAUUUGACAAAAAAGUUGCCAGGGGAGAAAUCUCUCGACACUGGGAAGUAUCGGAAGGUUGGUUCUUGCUUCGUUAUUCCUUUUUAGCAUGGUAUCAUAUACAAGGCUUAUAUUGAUUGCUUCUUUUCUAUAGUUUCUGCUCCUUGUGGAAGGAAAGGGGAUGAGCUCACAAGAGAAGCAACAAACAGCAAAAAUUCUCCACCAGCUGAUGUCCAAAAGCUCUCAUGACAUACUUGAUGUCAACAAGGCAAGAUUUAUUGUUAGAAAUAUAUUCAGUUUAUUUUCUUCUGGAAAGUAAUUUCUUCUGUUUCUAAUAAAGUUAAGAAGAAAAGCGUUAAAUUUUGAGAUAAUUAUGGAACAGGCAGUUACAAUGUUCAAUCUGAAGGUGGAAAAGCAACGGAAGAACAAAAAGGAACAAGACACAUCUACAGCAAGGAAGCUGAAGCCAAAAAAGGAAACCCCUUAAAAAAUCUUCAAAAAAGAAACACUAGAUGACAGCAUUUAGGGGUUUGUAAUGAUAAAGGCUAUUUAAUCUUCCAUGUUUCAGCAGUGUGCAAUAUUUUGAGCAUUUUCUUGUCCUUGUUUCGUCGUGUGUCAUGGAUAAACUUAUUCUUGAGUCAAAAGUAUGCUCUUUUUUGGUAAUCAAUUUAUAAUUGCAUGUAAAAUUAUUUAAUCUUAGUGCAAAUGUGUUGAAACUUGCUUAUAAUUGUUUUUCCUAUUAAUUUGUUGUCACAUGGUGAGUCCAUGGAGUCACUGCUAAAGUUUGAGACAAGGAGCCAUUGAAAUCUGUUCAAUAUAAAAGGGAUAGAAGACCCAGCAAAACAGAGUGGCAAAGGUUAUGUUCUGAUGCUUGUUUUGUGAGUAGGAAAUGUAUUGGACCCAGAUAAUGGUAUAGAGAAUCUUGACCUCACCUCAAGUGCUUUGAUAUAUUACAGCAAUUUUUCAGCAGUAAGUUUUAGGCAAAUCAUCUCUCUCCAACCUGGGAGACAAUCUUUCUUCUCUGAGAAAAAUUGCAUCUGUGGUUGCAAACUAUAUAACCUCAGAUUUUUUUUACUUUAGGUAGGGUAGGACGCUACUGUGCCCAAUCCAUCAAUUGUUUCAAGGCUAAUUACAGUUUACCCCCUAUAAUUAACUGCCUUUAGCGUUUCGAUUCUUAUAUUUUAAAAAAUUACAUUAACAUCCCUAUCCCUAUAAUUACGAAAAGGAAACAUUUAAAUUCAUUUUAUCGAUGAAAAUGAAACAUCAGUUUUAUCGAUGAAAAUAUGAAAAUAAAAGGUAAAAAGGUAAUUUUAACGUUUAGUGACGGAUGAUAGCAUCAUUGGCAUCGACGCCAACGCAAUUGCCUAGUCGUCGGUGUCGACGAUAAGGUUCAAUCUCAUCACGACGCCACUCACCUCUAUAAGGAGUGCACCAUCAACCUUAUCGUCGCCCACCCCGUGUCGCACUGUAGUGACAUAGAUGGUGGUGGCCACCACGACGUUUACGAUGAAGAUGGUGGCCAUCUCGCCGCUGACCCAUCAGGCGGACCCCAACCUCGACCCCUCCUCCUUUACAUAUGUGUCGACAUCGACGUAGGUGCCGAGUGAUUGCUACAUUCGACGACGUGCUUGAAGAUAGCGAAGGACGUGGCCUUUGACCUCCUCUACCUCCACCAGAGCAACCCGUCAAUCGUGCACGUGAACAUCAAGCCCACCAAUGUCUUGCUUGGCCCAGACUUUGAGUCCUACCUCAUUGACUAUGCUCUCAUCCUGCCCCUCCUCCUCUCCCGACCUCACCCCAUGACCUCACUGCCCCCUCCUCCACCGCAUCCUCCUCCCUUCUCUAUUGUGCACCCAAGUCCUCCUUCACCCUCUUCUAGGACCUGGUGGAGGAGCACAACAUUGACAUCCCCUGAUGGGUCCGCUCCAUGCGAGAGCAAAACGAAUUCGACGAGGAUCGCGAGUUACCCGGAAACGAGGCAUCCGAGGAGAAGCUAAUGGCAUUGCUGAACAUCAUAGUGGCAUGCAUAGUAGUCCAGGCAAAGAAGUGACUGUUAAUGUGGGAGGUGCUAUAGAUGAUCAAGGAAGCGCAAGCGGAGGUGAUGGUCUCGUCCAACAACAACGACCACUCGUCGAAUAGUUGGUUGAACACAAUACAGAGCUUGCCAAGGGAGCAUGGAUCAAAGAGUGACGAUCGCUCAAUAUUUGCGACGACGAUGAUGCAAAUGCAAAGGAGGGGUCCACCACUACCGAUGCCAACGAUGCCACUAUCAUCUGCUACCGAACAUUAAAAUUAUAUUUUUUAUCAUUUAUUUUAAUAUUUUCGUUGAUAAAAUUAAUGUCGUUAGGAUAAAUGAGCCUCAAUAUUUCGCUUUUGUAAUUAUAGGGAUAUCAAUCUAACUUUUUAAAACAUUAAAGGCAACUAAGACAAUAUGUAAUUAACCUAUUAUUUCACCUAAUUUGGUAAGAUGAUGGUUGAUGCUUCCUCUAAAAAUCAAAAUGUAUAAAUCUGUUAUAUGCUUUCCCAAAAGAUGUGAGCCUCAUUUGACACACUAAGAUCUAAAUAAUGAGAAUAACAACUCAAUUUAACAAAUUAAGUUCAAGAAUUGGAGAUUUGCCUAUCUUUGUGUUGGAGCAGUGGUAUCUUUUACACAUGAAGGCAUGUCAUUCUUUUUCCUACUUGUACUCACAAAGAUGCAUCACUAUUUUAGGGCAAUCACUAACCACAUCAUCCAGAUUCAGAUAAAAAGGAGUACACAAGCAGUUACUUGAAUCAAAGUCCACAACAUUUCCAAUCAUAAUCGUCUUUCUUCUUUUUUUGGAUCCCUUCAUCAGGGUUGCUGCGAAAUUAUAGUAGGCUUACCAGUGUGAGUUCUUGCGUUUGGAUCGAUACUCUACUUGCCUUCUCCAUUGGCAUUAAUACCAGAUCCUCUCCUACUAACAGUAGUAUUUUUCAAGAUCUGCAGGAGAAAUAGAAGUUGUCAGAGAGCAUUUUAUUCCCUCAACUGUGAGAUUAACUAUAAUGAUUCAGUGUGUUCACACAAAACCAACAUAGAUCAUAGCUACCAAAACCAUGAACGUUUACAAACAACAUAAGGUGGAGUGGCACAUAUCAGCUAAGGAUCUAAUGGAAGAGAACACAGUGUUUCUGCACAGAUAAGUCAUGUUUCUUCGCAAAGCAAUUUAGUAUGGCUAGAAAAGUUAUUCUCAUGUCAUACAUGAUGUAAUCUGGAUUACGCAUGCCAAAUCAGGAAGUUGCUCGAAUCAUAAGGAAAUGUGCGUGUUGGAUAAUCAAAUAGUCUGACGAACACCAGUUUUAUCAACUUUCUUACUUAUAACCGUCUUUUGUUGCCAAACAACAUGCAGAAGCGUACAUCUUGAUUGAACCGAGGUAGAUACAAGUACAACAAACAAGUGAAAAUCGCAAUGCUACGAAGAACAUCAACGAUUAUUUAUACAUGAAGAAUUAGAAAACAAGGAAUCAUAAAUAAAAUGGUUACGGUAUGACAGGAAAAAGUUGUGGCAAUUUCAAGUAGUUUAGUUGGUUCUUAAAGAAACAUCAUCUUGUGUACUCAAACUAGCUGUGGAACCACAGACCUAAGAGAUGUUCGUUCCCCACUAACUUUUUUUUAAAGAGCAUGGAUAAUAUCUCAUUGCCAAUUGGUUAAUUCCUUUCUUAUACAGACUUCUCACAUUUUUAUCCCACAACUCUUAUGGUUGAUACUUUCUGUUCACUUUUAGUGACUAAAUGAGAUUGCAAUGAGAUAACAGGGUAUGAUCACCCCAUAUAAGAUUUCCUCCUUGAAGUUCAAUAUCUACUUUUGGUUUUAGCAUACAACCAUUAGCUUCAAAAACAAGAUUUCAUGGCAAUCACGAACCAUAAGCUUAAGAGAAACAAACAACACUAGAUUCAGGAAGUCAUUUCAACGUAAUCGAUACAUACUAACGAAAAUAACAAAGAAGUUACUACACCUAGACGAUAGAAAGCAUUAUAAAGAAGAUACAUAAGCACUACGAACUCCGAGCAAUAUAUAGCUACAUGCAUUACGUCUAAAAGAUUCCCCCAUUAUCAGAUUGAAAUAGAUAUACAACUCUAGUAAGUCGAAAAGGACCUUUCAGGAUGGUGACCUCCGAUGAAGUCCCAGGAUUUUAAUUUCCACUUUCAAAAUUAUAUAUUAAAAUAGCAUCAUCUAAAUUCCACCCUCUAUCCAAAGUCCAAAACCAAUUCAGUAUAAGUUUAUAGGGAUAUGAGAAAUCUCACCUCCUAAAUCCCACCCUCUGAAUCCAAGAUCUAAUUUCCGAUGGCAUCAUCGGAGUGUCGAAUCCCAUCAAAAAUCAAAAUGUGAUCCGUGCUCGGAAUAUUCCAUUACAGAAUUUGGACCAACACUUUCGAGGAUUCCUAGGAAUUCAUAUCCUCAUGUUAAAUGAGGAAUCAAGUGUCGACAUGAGUACUGACGAUGACAGGGAAAUAUCAUGAAGGUCAAGAAGGCAUACUUGUCUCAGCAUGUUGUUCUCAUUCUGCAACGUGGACAUCCUCUCCUCCAGUUGCGAGUUCCUGGCCUCCAAAUCCUUCACCUUGGCCUCCAAAUCAUUCAGGUAAGCCUUCUUUCUCUCCCGUGCUUGCUGAGCUGACACUCGAUUCCUCAGCAACCUUUCGUGGAAAGGGACGCACCAAAAGCAGACGAACGGCUCACUACGUACACAGAUCAUUCCCAAAAGUAUCCAACUGGGGGGCAGAAGAGGAAAGAUGUUCCGAACCUCUUCACCCGUUUGUGCUCCUUGUCGGCGACGCUCCUCCCUCUCCGCCGCUGGCCGGGCUGGCCCUGGUCCGGACCGUCCGCCGAAGCGGCCUCCCGGCCGGAGGUCGAUGGGCCGGCCGGCUGGAACCCGAAAUCUGGCACUCUCCUGAUCUCGUCGUCGCUUUCCAUACCUAUAUCACAGCAAAAAGAAAAUCGAAAUUUCACCAACACACUCCAACAAAGAGGUCAAAAAAAUCCAAAAUACAUCGAAGCUGGGAUUAAAAUGCCGAUAAAAAUCCCCCAUUCUCCGUAAAAAUGUAAUCUUGGAGAAGCCAGCGGGACCAGUUACGCAUUGGCCAAAUCAAACUCAAAAGGAUCGCAUUUUGGACGGAGAAAUCACAGAUUCUUCGACGAAAAUACUAUUCUUAAGCAAAAUCACGAGAAUUAAUCAAUUCCUACCGGAAAAAGGCCCGCAGGAAAAGAAAAGAAAGUAAAAGAUUUACCUUCUUUGACUUCCAUCAGAGGGGCGGAACUCGAGGAUCUCUCGCUACCCGAAGGAAGGGAGCUGGUUGCCUGCUCCUGCAGCAUCCUCCUCCUCCUCUUUCUCCUCGAAGAGAAGAGAUCGACAGAGAAGAAGAAGAAGCAGAGCGUUGCCUCAGAGUACUUCUUAUCACCUCUGCCGUUUGUCCAAGAGCGGGGACGAGAACGAGUUUACAAGAUCACGUGGGAUUCCGUGAUCUAGAGAUGGGCUGCUUGGCCGUCCGAUCAGAACUCAUCGGACGGUCGUAAGCGCGUGAGCGUGGACGACGGUGGAGCCAUAAACCGACCGCGAGGAUCCAAAGCCGCAUUGUAGGCGAGCGUGGAGGCUUUUCUACCGUUCGAUUAAUGGAUAAGUCGAGUGGCCGACGAAUCCUAGGCGUUCGAUCUGGUCUUUUCCUGGCUGUACAUGUUACUGAGAGGUUUGAUGUUCUAAUUUGUUCGGGUUUUUCAUAUCCCUCCAAAAAUAUUGAUAAUUAUAUAAUAUUUACAUCCUUCAUAUGUGUCUCUUUCCUUAGUAUUUAUCCCAAUGAAUUCAGUCAGCCACUAUUAAUACAGCAGUUCUCAUUUUGGAUAGAGCAGGAAAACCAGCUGGGAGAAGAGAGCCUUUCUUUGUAUGAAGGUUGUGAUGUAAAAGACAAGAAGGAAAGGAUAGUAGUACACAGCUUAGCUAAAGCUUCUCAUCUGAAGUGGCAUGAUUUGCUAUAGGGUUUCUCUAACAUCUACAUCUCAGGAUAGAUAUAAACUGACAAGCAAAACCCCCUGAGAUCAACUGUGCAUAGUUUGAUCAAAGCUUUUUGUACUAUUAACUGAUUUCUCAUGUUGGAUGUCAUUUUGUCAGAGCAGAUGGAUGAUUAGCUCUGCAUGUCUAUGGACAUUAGAAGUCUUAUAUUGGUUUUACCAUAGACAUACAGACUGGUUUUAUGUUGUUGGUCUUUACCAUUUGGGCUCAUGACCACCACCAGGCUCUAUUUUCUUUAUUUGACAGGAGAUAAGUUGAUUCAAAUGACUUCUACUGUAUCAGUAGUCUCAUGUAUUCCUCUUGCAGAAGAAGGCUUAAUGUAAGAUGUGAAACACCAAUUUAUAUUAAUGGAGAAGCAGCAUGAUAGCUGCACUUCUCCUCCUCAAAAGAAAUGAUAGCAGCAGAGAAGUAUUCUCUAAUCACUUCUGUUUUAAUAAGAAAAUGCUGUAAGUGGGAAAGCUGCAGCACAAUCUAAGCAACACACACCAGAAAGCAGGGAAAAGAGUCCUGCUAAAUGUGGGAAUAAUGGAGGUGGAAAUAUGAAUUAUAGGUGCCAUGAACUUUUGACCAGAUCAAUAUAACAGGGGAAACCUUGAUAAAGUUGGCUAAAAGCUAAAGAGAAUCCAAUGUGAUUGACACACUCAAUCAAGUCCUAUGUGGAGACCAUCUUCCACUCUAGUACUUUUAGCUACAAAUGCAUACAUAACCUUGCCACAACAUAGCAGAAAAUUAGUAGGAAAGUUGACAACAUUGUCACUGUCAUUGGCUUUUGUUCUGAUAGCAACUACUCAUCUGGACUUGAUGUGUGUUAUGCAAAAUGAGGGUAGGGAUUUAUUAUUUUCUUUUCUUAUCUUUCCUUUCCUUCAAUGUAUAUUUAUAUCUUAAUUCAUCAUUUGAUGCAUGCCUUAUAUUUUCACAUGAAAACAUCAUGGUGCCACAAAAUAAUUCAAUUGGAGAGAGAGAUGGACAAUUCACUUGGUGCUUUCCUUUGAUGUGUGAAAAGGAGUCACCCAUGAAAAGCUUCUGUUGAUGUUUGAUUCUUUUGGAGUGCAACAGCUGUUGAAACCUAAACUUGGAGCUUUUGUAGACAUGUCAAAGGCCAUGGCAUUUCUCAAGACAUUCCUUGGACCACUUGCGUUAUGUGCUCGAGAACAUACCCCACCAUUUGGAGGAUGACAUACAUAUAAUCUUCAUUCAUAACAAAGCAGAAAGAGACUUCACAUUACCUAUUGCAAAGAUAGGAGGAAGAGGUGCAGGAGAAGGGUGAGGGACACAGGACUUCAAAGCAAAUUGAAACUGAGAGAAGGAACACUCAACACAGAACUUAGGGUUCAAGAAGAAGACCAAAGGCAAAACUAGCAAUAACUUGAGAUCACUACCGUAUCUGAAGCUCUCGUUCAUCUCUUUCUGUUGUCUCUUCGCUGGUUCAUCGUCUCCUUAGACUUCGGUGCCUGCCAUGAACGGCCAAAGAGGUUUCCAGAUGUUGAUACUAUCAGAUUUCAGGAUGGAAGCAAACAAAAUGAUGAGUCCAGCGGUGGAUGGGUUACCGGAAUCCCUGGGUGCAUUGCAUCGGAAGCACUCCAUCCUGCUUGCGAAGUUGUGCUCGUUGCAUCCCGACCUACAGAAAUGCUUCAACGAUGUUAGCUAAACAUGGAGCCCAGAAGGGUUUGGUAUCGGAUGAAGCUAAAAGAACUGCACAUAUGUAAAGGUUAGAUGAACGUUUGAUGAAGAACAUGCACAAGGAACAGAAGGGGCAUGAGUGACACCUGUUGCAGAUCCAGUCCCCGGACUUCCACCCGGCGCGCCCACCGCCGCCGCUGCCGCCGAAGCCGUACCCCCGCGACCGUGGCAUGUCGCCGUCGAAACCACCGCCGCCGCCGCCGCCGACUGCUGAGUCCUCCUUCGAGGCACAGCACUUGAAGCAGCUCGAGCGGCUGGCGAAGUUAUGGGCGCCGCAGGAGCAGUACCAGUCGCCAGGGCGGACGUCGGAGCCGCUGAAGCCAAACGAGGAUCCACCGACGCGGCCGCCGCCGAAGCUGGCGUACUCGGAGCGGUCGCUGCUCGGCCUCGAGUCGCUGCAUCGCUGGCACGAGUCCCGGCGGCUGAAGUUGAGGUGCUGGCAGGAUCUGCAGGUCCAGUCUCCUGGCUUCCUGUUCAUCUUGUCAAGUCCUAAAGAUUCAAGAUACAUCCAUCAGAGAUUGAGAGAGAGAGAGAGAGAGAGAGAGUUACUUCCUGCUCAUCUUGUCAAGUCCUAAAGAUUCAAGAUACAGCCAUCAGAGAGAGAGAGAGAGAGAUACUUCCUGUUCAUUUUGUCGAGUCCUAAAGAUUCAAGAUACAAGAAGACAGAGACUGAGAGGGAGAGAGAGAGUGUGUGUGUUACUAUGUCCUGCAUCUUCAAUGUAUUAACAAUCCUAUACAAGAAGACAGAGAUCAGUCUUAAGAGACUGCAAAUACUGCUGGUCCAUAGAAGGGAAGAGCCAAGAAGCAAAGGGUUCCUUCUUUGACACCAAAGAAAAUUUAAGAUAGCUAACAGUAGAGUGUGUGUGUGUGUGAGAGAGAGAGAGAGAGAGAGAGAGAGAGAGAGUGAGAUUUAUACUGCAUGACCAUGUACUAACAGUCCUAUACAAGAAGACCAACAUCAAAUCCUAUAACUCUUUCUAGUUCAUGGAAGAGAAGAGACAAGAAGCAAAACUCUCUUGUUUGACACCACUGAAGCACCAACAAUAGAGAGGAGUGGAGAUGGAAGGCUUACCCUAAGUUGGGAGGAAGAGGAGAGGAGAGAAGUGGGAUGUCAGAUGAGACAGUGAGUGUUGAUGUGAGGUUGGGGUGGCCUUUUAUACUUGCAUGUGGAGCUCAAUAAUUGAGAAUCUAAAUUGGGUGUUCUCACUUUUCUCUUUCUGUGGCCACUUCUUGAACACUGCAGUCACAUUAAAAAAAAAAGAGAGAGGUAACCCUAAGAAACUAAAAAGAAAAAGAAGAAGAAGAUAAAGAGUAUGGAUAAGGAUGCUAAAAGACUGGUAAAAUUAUGAGGAAUUUGAACAUGGAUUAAUUCAGCAACAUCUUUUGAGGUGGUGAAAUGCAUGUGGAACAUUUCAGUUCCCUCCACCAUGCCACUUCUUUUACAUGAUUCUCAUCAAACAUGUCUUUGUUAAAAGACAUGACAUCUUAAAACUACUGUGGCUUCCAUAAUGCUUGCAAACUGGCUUUAGUGUGACAAUGGAUGUUUUGUUUCCAUUUCCUGAUGCAUUUUUUUUGGGUACUCUGCUGAUGUUUAAGAUUAAUCUGAACAAUGCAGCAUCAUAUUAUCCAGAAAAUUACUCAGGCUAAACAUUACUAACCUUGAUUAUUGUUUCUAAAUAUUCCUAAAUGUACCCCAAAAAAAAUCUAAAUUUCUUUUCUAGUGUAACUCAGGCUAAAAAUAUUCAUAUUGAGGCUACAAUGAGCUCUGCAGUCUAUUAUCAUUUUCCUUUCCUUCAAACUGACCAUCUAACCCUUAGCCAAUAUACAAGCACUACACUAAAUGGCUAAUCCACCAAAGAAAAUAGAAUGAUGAAACAAAUCCAAUCCCAGUGGUCUGUUCUUAGAGCUUUCAUCUGCCUUUGUCAUCUCACUCCAUAGAAAUUUAAAUUCUCCAACUGGAUGAAUUACAUCUUAUUAAUCAAAUAUAAUAUCAUGUAAGAUAUCAUCACAUUCAUAUGCAUGUUUAUCAAUGUCAGUUUAGCUUAAAUGUUGGGAAUACAAAGACAGGGAGGGGAAAGAAAGAUAAGGAGGAUAAAAGACUUGAGUAGUUUUGGCUGGCUGUCUUUUUAUUCAUACUUGAGAGAGAUUGGAGGAAUUUUUGAAGAGGGAGAAAGCAUCCUUUCCAUUUUUUUCAUGCACCAGUUAUUGAAUUGCUCAAGAAAGUAAAAGGGAAAAAAAAACUGGUGAAUUUCUAUAAAGAAAGCAGUCUUGGAGGAUGGUCUUGACCAUCUUUUUCCACUUGUUUCAUGUCCCUCAUCUUCUUCUGCCUCCCUUGAUUGUUAUGUUGCAAACCAAAGUCUCUUCUUUUCCUGAUCCCCCCUGGUGUGGCUUAUAUGAGUGGCUUUGCUUUUGCUUUUGCUUCCCCCUACUUUCCCAUGGUGUCAAGGGAAGAGGAGUUUCAAACCCAUAGGAUGAUAUACCCUCCCUUCUCUUGGGAGAAGUUAAAGGGCAGUGGUGAACUGUGAAAAGAAAGCACAGGAAAGUGCUUGUGGGCUGAUUCGAUUCUCCUAGGGAAAUGCUUCCAUGCAAUGUGACCAUGACCACAACCUGCUUUUUCUCUCUUUUGCAGCUUCAUCUUCCCACUUUGCCUUUUUGAGGCAGGUGAAUACUAUAAUGUCUUUUGGUGUUCUCCCCUAACUCAGUCUGGUGCACAUAUCUUUAUCUUUGUUACAAGCAUUAACACAUGAAAAGGUGUAAAUGUAGGUGUACUUUGAAAUGAGCAUGAUUUAGCAUGCAUUCCAGAUGAAAAGCAGUGAGAGUCUAACAUUCAUAUGGAAACUGGGCCUCAUCUAAACCUGCAUAAUUCAUAGUCAACACAUGUCUUGAGUUUGUGUAGUAUGCCAUCAGAUCUGACAAGUUUCUUGAGCAAGCUAUGAUAUUGGAGCUCAGUAACAGACAAAGAAAAAAAGGUUCUUUCUGAAAUGUGGUUUGUUUAUCUUAGAUGAACCAAAUCCACCUUACUGAGUUAUAGUCCUAAUUAAAGCAAUUGAAUUACUGAAGCAGGUAUCAUAUUAAGAAAGAAUUUUCUAUACAAGAUUUUACUGCUAACCCCAUAGGUUUGGGGGUAUGUAAAGAGAACUGCUUACAUCCUGCAGUUGAAGGUUAUGGAAGCAUACAUAGUGAUAAUUUCUCUUUCCUUAAACAAAAUAUUUCAGAAUCUCAAGUGUAUUGGGUAUGUUCUUCAGAACCUAAGAUGCAGAUACCACCACCAGGUUGGUUCUGCCUUACUCAAUUCUACUUAGUCCAUCACAAGUAGGCAUAAUCCCGGUUUCAGAACCGAAUCAUAGAGGACCGAUUCUGGUGCCAGUUUCUACGGUUCAACUUCCAGUUCGAACCACCUUUUUUUUUUUACUUUUAGUUUUUAAUUAAAAAUAAUUAAAAAUAGCAAACAAUCAUAAAAAAAUUAUUUCUAAGUUUUGAUCAUAAUGUCAUUUUGAAAAGUGGAUGCAUUUCAAGACAAGUCUAAUGAUAUAAAAUUGAUAAAAUUAUAAACUUAUCAAUCUUUUAUAUGGCUGUUGGGGGGGGGGGGGGGCGGGGGGGUGCAAACUGGUCAUUUGCCCCCUUCAGAACCCAACAGUCUAUCAAACAAUCAACCCUAAUAGCCAGUUGGUCAAAGGGGCUUUGACCCUUUUUUUUUCUUGAAAUAUGGAACCGCCGGUUCCAAUUCCCAAAAGACCAUACCGGACCUAAACCGUAACCAGGGCUAAUCAGAAGCACUGUAAACAGAGAUGUGAUUUUAAACCUCUAAGCCUAAUCUGUGGGACCAUUAACAUAAUUUUCAAGACUUUCUUAUUCCAUAAAACACAAUCAAAUGCUUGUAUCAUAAAUGUCUAAGAGAGCAUUCUUUGAAAGGCCUACUCUACCAUGCCAAAGCUGUUUACUGUGAGCAUGUUGACAAGGAUGAUACUUGUUCUAACAUCAAUAUAUAUGAAUUUAUUUUAUUCUCUGGUGUUUGUAUAAUGUUUGACAAUAAAAUUUUCUCUUGGGUGAAUCGCAUCUAAAGAAUCAUCUAGUCAUACAAUCUCUUCAUGAUCAGGGGAAUCAUCUAGUGAACAAGAUUUUCUUCAUUGUUGUCUGGUGGCAGUUCAAGCAUCAAUCAAGAUAAAAGAAAAGGGUAACAAAUAUCCAUUUGUUAUGCUCAAAGAAAAAUACAUUUAUUACCAUCUUGUUAUGAAUUAGAUAAUUUUUUCUGCCUCCGUUAUGUUCUCACUGAAAGAAGUAUCUUAGACUUUGAAAUAUACAUCAGCAUUUGCAUUUUUAGCUACUGCAAUGUGCUUGGUUCCCCUGAUCAAGAAGACACUAUAUGACUAGAUGAUUCUUUAGAUGUCAUUCACCCAAGAGAAAAUCUUAUUGUCAAACAUUAGAAAACAUCAGAGAAUAAAAUAAAUUCAUAUAUAUUGAUGUCAGAACAAGUAUCAUCCCUGUCAACACAGACGUAAUAAAAAAAUUCAUUCCUAGAGUAGGAUUUGCAUAAGUUGGUACAUGAGAACUGACCUAAAGUUUGAUAUCAAUUGUUAGUUUAGUUGAAAAAUGCCGCUUGAUCAUUGUACUUACAUUAUAUUACUCUCUUUUCAUGCCAUGUACAAAAUGGGAGCUAAUUGGCAGUUGGUCUUAUCAAAGGAUCCUUGGUGUAUUCUUGAUCAUUUUCUGAAGCAAUUUAUCAUGAUUGUGGAAUAAUAACAAAUCACAUACAAAGAAAUUAACUUCCCUUGGCAUUUCUAAAAUAAACUCACUGAUUGGCUUUGAAAAAGCUAAACAAAACUCAAGGAAACAAAUGCCACCAAAGACUAAUCUUAAAUUAAUCGAUCAAGAAAGAAAAAUGAACAUUUAUCUCAACAGCAUCUCCAAUCAUGUAACAGGCAAGGCAUCAUAAACUAUGAAUUAUCGCAAGACAUUACCAAUUUUACAUAAACAUUAAUAUACACUUCUCUCAAUUAAAGAAAAAAACAAUAUCAGGAUAGCAACCUCUCUUGAUAUACCUGAAAGGUAAAAGAGAUUGUUGCAAAGUCAAGAAAGCCAUCCAUUUCUUUUAUAAUGCUGAACUUAAAAUCUAGCAUUGCAUCAUAAAUGGGUAACAGUACAUUAAGCUCAAGACGCUCGACAUCUUUAUGAAUUGUAGUGAUUUUAUCCCAUUUUGAUUGCAGAAUUUUUCAUUUAUAAUAAAAAAUGUUAAACAAGCAAAUUAGAUCAAAAAAUAAAUAAGUUUCAGAGAUAAAAGACAUUCUUUAACAGAGAUGAAUCUAAUAUUCAGAAAUAAUUCAUAUUUCUUUCAUUGUUUCUAGCAGUUUAUUCCAAUAGAUUAAAGCAUGACAAGCUUAGAUCUCUUUUAAUUAUGAAGAAAAAUAUGUAGGUUCUUCUCUGAUAACUUCAUUUAUUACUAUAAUUGAAAGUUGUUAAAAAUUGUCUCCUAGAAAUGAGAUUCAAAUGGUUUGAUAGUUAACUAGAAAAAUAUAUUUAUAUAAAUAGGGUGAAGAGAAUGAACUUGUAUCUUAAUAGAGUUGAUGAUUUAUGGGUAGACAUCGUCACUAUUAAGUAUGGAAUGGUUUCUCCUUGGAAAGACAAUACCCAGAAGAAUAUUACUUAGAGCUAGAGUUUAUUUCUCGCAGCUAUGGCUUAGCUUGGCAGUGGGUUUACUCAUUGGAAAUGUCUCUGCCAUUAGUAUUACACAUGAUGGUUGUUUGAUGUUCCUAUUCAUUCAAAGCCUACUUUGGUCAAUAUGGAUAUUGAACUAGAUGAUUACAUGUUGUCUAAUUUACCUUUGAAUGGUCAACGGAUUCAGGAAAAACUUGCUCACUUGUUUGGUUCUGUCUCUUCAGAUAUAGUUCACAAAGUGUACAUAUCUCACACUCCUUAUGAUGAACAAGUGAUUUAAAAAUCAGAUCUUAAGGGGCAACCAUCAACUCAGUUUGUAUUCUUUUUAGUGUUUGGAUGAGGUGAGCACGGAUUGCAUUAGAUUAAUAAAAGUAAAAUUGUUUUCUUUGUGAAAUGUAUAUACAUUUAUGCAUCAAACAUAUCUAUACAUGAAGAAAAAAACUCAUCCGAUGUCUUCUCAUCUCACUACUUAAUUACGAGACCGUACCGAGACAUUUGGAAGAUUAAGUAUUGAUUGAUAUUUAUAGAUAUGAAAGGCAUUGAAGUGAGGUGGCCGAGAACAACAAGUCAUAACAUUCCAGCAGAAUAAGGUGUCCCGUUAUACUUAAAUCACACGACUUGUGUAGUUUCCUCUACAACCAUUAAGGAAAUCAUAUGAAUUGUUAGAACCAUAGGUGAGAUGGUGAUUUUUUGCAUAAUCUAAAGACUACAAAAAAUGAACAAUUAAUAGAGAUUAAGUGUAGGAUCAUAUGGCCUUAAGGUUCUAUUACAUCAGAUAGAGAUUAAAGAAUUAAGAACCAGAAAAACCAAAGUAGAAUAAUUUUAUUUAUCCAAAGAAACCAAUUGCCUGAAUGGAGGAAAAAGGAAAAGAGAUCAAGGUACUUGAAAAAUGGGAGUGGGCGGUACCUUCUCUGGUCCGAUCUGUUCCUUGGCCUCCUCCCCUGUUGCGGUUGCGAGAUACCAAAAGAGAGAGAGAGAGAGAGAGAGAGAGAGAGAGAGAGAGAGAGGGCGCCCUAAUCCGUUGAUAGCACCAGGGCAGAUGAAUUUAUAGCAAACGAGGAGCGUGUGUCGAUCACAUCAACGUCUCAUGUAGGUGGACCUCGAUGCCGACGACAGGCUGCACCGCGAUACAACGCACCACCCGACGGACCGAGUCCAUUGCAGAGGUGGCAAAUAGACGGAGCCAUCUCGGAUAAAUCGACUUAAGGUGGCUCGUCUCCUUCUUCGAAUCGAGCUCGAGUUCAAGCACGGAGACUUGGAAUGGCUCCUAUGUUGACCUCAUCGAUAUUUUGAUUUCGGGUGCUUGCAAUGGUCAUUUACGGUGAAUAAUCUAAGAGUGCACUUCGUUACGGCACACUGCGACGUUAUCUCAAACAACAUCCAACAGCUGCUUCAUCCCGAAAUAUGCCUACGAGAACAUGAUGAACAACAUUAUAUCGAGUUGUGGCAGAUCGACACAUCACACCUGUGAGGCGUCAUUCCAUGACGAGGCAAUUCCAAAAGAAUUUACAUGUCAACUCAUAACUAGACACGUCAUCGAAUUCGCCCAGCACAGCAGCAACUAAUAAUGCACAUCCCAAGCCAUACAUUAGUAAACUGUUGUCAAAACAAUACAAGUCAGUCAUUUGUACCCAAACCCUCCCCAUUUCAUAAGAUCCAAUCCCCUGGAUUUGGACCCAUGUGACAUGGAGAGGUCCAAUGUCACAUCUCACAUUAAAAAAAAAUAAAUAAAUUAUCAUUUUUUUUAUUUAUAUUUUUUUAUCUUUGAAUUCAAUCCUCUAUAUUUACAAUAUUUAUUAACUAAAAAAAUCACAUCUUUUUUAUGAAAAAAAAAAUAUUUCUCCACCCAACCAUCACAUCUAUUAUAAAGUCAUAAAUAACUCUGAAUAUAAAUUAUGAUAAAAUAUAUAUAUUAGUAAGAAGUCUUUAAAAAAUAUAAAAAUAAUUGUUAAUAAUAAUAAUAAUUUUAUUAAAAAUAAUAAUAUUUUUAAAAUAAAUUAUUAUUAUUAAAUAAUAAUAAUAAUUUUUAUAUAAUAAAUAAAAUCAUUCAUCAUUCAUAUUCAAUACAUCUUCAUAACAUAUAUAAUAGUCAGAUAACAAAGACAUAUGUCACAUUCGAUGAUAUAUUCAAUACAUCUUCAUAACAUGGAUUGAUACCCCUCGUGUAUCCAAGUGGGAGAUAUGUUUUUCUCAACAACGGAUGGAUGAACUAUUUAGCCAUCAUAUCUAACGCUCCGUUAAUCCUCGAAACGAAUCGUCUUAUCUACCCUCGACAUAAAUAUAUAAUCAAUUAUAAUCAUUCAUUUAUAUUCAUACAUAUAUUCAAAAAAUAUAAUGAAUUAUUAUUCAUUUAUAUUCAUACAUAUAUUCAAAAAAUAUAAUAUAUUAUUAGGGAUCAUGGUUAAUAUAUGAUGGACCUGUAACUCCUCUCAUAUAUUACACUUCUAAUAUUGAUAACUUAGUAUAGUCACAUAUAUUAUGCCGUAAUAAUCACACCAAUAUCAUCAAUUUAAUUUAAAAAAUAAAAAAUCACUAAUUAUUUCAUAAAAAUAAAUAAAUUUUUAAAAUUUAUUUUUAUUUUACUUUCACACAUAAUGAUAGAAUUAUAAUAUUUAUGUAUUAUAAGUCACAUUCAAAAAUGACAUUUAAAUUAUUUACUUUUUAAAAAUCACAUCACUCAUUAAAAGAUAAAUUAAUUAAUAGUUUACUUGAUCGAUAAAAUUUUUAACUCAUUCAUAUGAUUAAAAAUAUCAAUUUUAAUCAUUUUCUUAAUCAUACUACACAUUAAUAAUUUAAAUAAAAUAAUAUAUUAUUUAUAAUAAUUUAAUUUAUGUUGAGAAGGAAAAAAACCAACGGUGAUUAUUACAUCCAAACUUGGUUAUUUUCACAAGCCAUGGUGACGAAAUCAGUAGCAGUAAAAACUUGUAACAAAAAAUACAUGUAGCAGAGACACUUUGAAUGCUUCAAAAAAGAAUGAAGAGUCUAAUUGUGGCCAUUGAUUAUUUGACAAUGCACUAAAAACGCCCAAAAGAAUCCAAAGGCUAACAAAUGGCCAUAAUGGUCACUGUAAAGGAAAAGACGAUGAAAACAUACGCCACACUUGGGGCAAGAAAAU